UGGCCUCUGCGCGGAGUGAGAUUGGGCCAAGUGGUGUUAUGGUCCUACUUUCGUGAAUGCGUCGAAAGGUAUAAGUGCUCUUUUGAACAUAAGUUAUGAACUGUGCAUGUCAUAAGUGUAAAGAUCUUUAUCAUAGGACUUGGGGAAGUUAGGUAUGUAUGUCAGGUAAGAAUCUUUAAUAUGGAUGAUUUACACUUGGGACCGGCCUGCUCGAGUUGUGAAUUAUCUUAGAUGGGAUUCUUGCGCCCGAAUACGAAAGAGAUGAGAGUUUAGGUUAGAAAGGACUUAGACGAACUAGAAACGCAAUUCUAUGAAAUUUCGUGUGGUUUGUUCGAGUGUGGUUAAGCGUGAUCAACUUUCAUUAAGAUAUAAAUGGUGUUGUUCUCGUAAAUUAUGGACGGAACCCUAGAGGGGGAAAAGCUUUUCGUUAGUUUUUUUUGUACUCGUGACCUAGUCUGUCUAUAGUACUUUUGGAUGACCCCGUUACUUUCAUGGAUCUCUCAUAUUUGUAUCUAAUUGACUGCUACUGUGUGACUGGUUCGGUACAGUUGUGUGUAUAUAUAUGCUUUUGAUCUGUGAGUACCUCUUGUUAUUUGCUUAUGCCUAUAAUUAUCUUUAAUAUUAUCUUUGCACCUCGACCUUAGAUUGACUUAGAUCAAUGAAGGGCACUUGUAGUGUACGAGGCCGCGGGCGUGGAAUUAGGCAACCCACUUCUGAAAGGGGCACUGGGGAAACUUCGCCUGGACCUAAUCCUGAACCUAGGGUUGAUCCUAACGUCCAAAUAGCUGCUGCUAUGCAGCAAAUGACUGAUUUGCUAGCUCAAGUGGUGCACCAACAGGGUCACAACCCUAACCCCAACCCUGGGAACCCUGGUAACCACGUGGAAAGCGAGGACUGGGCCCUCGAGAGAUUCCAGAAGUUUGUCCCACCAAAGUUUAUUGGAGGACCCGAUCCAGAUGUAGUCGAAAGGUGGCUAGAGAAAAUGGUUGGAUGAUCUACUAUACAGUUGGAGUUCUAGUUUUAACUUGUGUAAUAGUUGAAACUGCAAUUGUACUUGUACUUAUGUGAGAAUUGAUGACCUUUGUUUUAUUCGGGUAAUUAGUAUUUCUUGUAUCUCUUGAGGUUCUAGUUUGUAGUGCAAAUGAAUUUGUGGAACAUUUGAUGUAUAUUUGAGAUUUAUAUUGGAAUUUAUUUAAGAACUGAAGUGAACGAUUGAGUUCCGGCGAAAGUUGGGCAGGCGGUUCGCUGAACCCUUUGGUUCGCCUUAGGGGGAGGUGGGGCUGUCACAAGUUUCAUGAAAUUUCCCACAGGAACACCUUUGAAACCAUCAUCAUUUUUUUUUACUCAUCAAUAUCCUGUAUUCAACUGGAAGUACACUUGCUUCCAUGUGUUUCAUGGGGAAUUUUCUGCUUUCCUUGUAACUUUGUAACGCAGACCGGUAGGAUGCAUCUACCUUCAGUGCUUGUUAACAAGGAAAAACCUUGGUAGUCCAUCUUAAUAUAAUAGCUCUUCCUAUCCAAUUGGAAAAAGCUUAGAACUUUUAGUGUUUGCAGGAGACUUGCAAAGAACCAGAACUGAUGGGCACAGGACCUCUCUCCCGAUGGCCUAGGAAACUCGUAAUGGUGUUUUUGGGGGGGGGGUGGUGGGAUGGAAGUUGGACUCUUCCCUUAAAGUAAAAGCAGCCUGUAAAUCUCGGGUCUACAAAGGUGAAGCGAUGCAUUUAUUUUCGUUCAACUUCAGUUUCCAUCGGAGUUUUCCACUACCAGAAGGGAUCUUAAUCGGAGAAUCAAAAAGAAGGAAAGAGAACUACUGAUAAUCUUUUUCAAUUCUGAGAAACUCAGGCCUUGCUUGGAUUGCGAUUUUUCGUCGGAAAAUUACGUCGUUUUCCGUGAUCACAUUUCCCUAUUACCUUUUUCCCUUACAUACAUCAAAUCGUUACAGUAAUUUUUUCAUGAAAAAUCAUGAAAAAUAUAAUCCAAACACAACCUCAGACUUUUUGCAGAUAAACUUAAUCCCCAAAAAACUACUGAUAGUCGUGGAUCAAACUAAUGUGAAAUAGCAGGUGCAGAGAAUGUUAAAAGUUUUUUACUUGAGUUUUGCCCAAAUGCGCGAGUUAUUCGACUCGACACCUUAUGCGAAUUAUAUAAACAAAGUUCCUUUACACCAGACGACACAGCGAGCGGGGGAGCGUACAAGUGACGCUUUCCCAAUUUUCCAUUGUUUAUGAUACUACACCGUAGCAUAGCCUAGCUGUCUGUCACCAAAAUGUCAUUGGUACAAUUUAAUGACGGGCCUUCAUUUAAAAAAAAAUGUUAAAUGUCAAAAAGCUAGAAAUUUUUAUAUUUUUUAAUCAUUCUUUUAACUUGCAUAUUAAACUAUAUUUUUUUUAUAAAGUUUUUUUAAAAAUAGUAAUCCAAAUUGUCGUGCCCACGCAUAACACGAUCAACAUGGGCCAUCUUUUCUAGGUUGAUUUAAAUUCUGGUACUUUCGAGUCUCGUGAAAAACGCGUCUUGGGUGAGAACUGAGGCUCCUCAUGACGCAAAUUGUACUCAGAAAGAAAGAGUGCUAGUACUACCUCUACCUCUGCCUCUGCAAUUAAACGAAUCAAAUUUCCGCAACGAAGGCGAAAAAUGAACGCGUGCCAGGCUUCCUAAUCAAGCACAUGAUUUUCCACGGUCACCACAGAAACACGUACUCGAGGCCCAGGCCAAAACAUCUACGAAAAGAAAGUUACUGGUUCGCAUAAGGGUUCUAUGGUUGCCUCUAAAUUCAGGAAAAAAAAAAGAAAAAGAUGAUAAUGUUCUAUAAAAUAAAUUCCAAGAGGUAUGGAAUGGGGACCGUGGGGGGAUGGGGAUGUCCGAGAGCUGCGUGUUUGUUGGUGUGUGUGACUGUAUGUACGAGAACUUGUUACUUGUGAGUAUGGGAAUGGGAAGUACAGGAAUCAUCAGUAAGGCAUGCAAUCGCAAUGACAGCUGCAGGUAAAGGCCAAGGGGCCCAACCCCACGUAUAUCUUGCCCUUAUCGUCCCCCACCGUGCAGUAUGCACUUAUUUUUACACUCUCCCUGAUUUUUCCCUCUUUUUCUUGUGGUGACUGACCUUACUCUGACGUCCUCCCCUGUUCUGUACCGCUGCUUAUUCGGACACUCUUCAAUUUUAUCAUCUGGGUUCCUUUUUUGUUUUCGUCAACAUGUCAACCAUGGUUUCAGUCCGGAAUUUCUUAUCUGGCAGCCAUUCUAAGCUUAAGUUUGCUUUCUCACCUAAGAUUCUACACUUGGAUCUUUUGAAUGUGAUUAUGGUGCUUCAUCAGAUUCAAUCAGUGUCAGAAUUUCUCUUCUCUUCUCUUUUUCUUUUAUCAUGCAUUCUUUGUUAUUUAUUUUUUAUAUUUUCUACUUGUUAGUGCGUUAGAUUUCAACUAAUGAGUGCUGGAAGAUUGGUUUUUGAUGUCAUUAUUGGUCUAAAAAAUCAUUUUUGUCUGCCUUUUUCAUUGUUCACAGGAUUUUGAAUUAUGGAAAUGAAACACAGGAUAGAACUUUACUCUUCCUUUUUUCCCAAAUCCCUAUUGUUGGUUUUAUUUUCAAGUGCUUCUUAGGGGCAUUUAGUUGGGUUGAGUUGUAACAUGGAUGGAAAUUUUCCAAAUUUUCUUCUAUUGGAAAAUUUCCAUUCAAAUAUGUCUCCAGAUCUUGGUUUUUUUUUUUUUUCUGGGCUUAUGCCUCUUUGUGUUCAUGGUUUAAAUGCACAAAGUAAGAACUUGCUAACCAUUUGAACCAUUGGACGCCACUACCAUAUUUAUAAGAGCUAAACAUGGUGGAACACUCGCCUUCACUCGAUUAACUUUUUGGAAUCACUUUUUCUCCUCAAAAUGACUUCUGUGCAAGAGCUUGUUUUACCUAUAUAAUGGACUACGAGAUAAGCUCCUGGAUCUUCCACUUGUCUCAUGUCAUUAGUUUGGGCUAUUUUCUCUUUAUAGGUGUCAUCACUGAAUCUGUUCUGGGACUAUAGCUACUUCUUAAUCUGCUUCAGUCAUUUUACGCAAUAGGCCACAUUUGUGAUGCUGGGUUUGGCUUUCUUUACGUGGUGAUGAUUGUGACCUUGACCAAGGGAUAGCUUUCCUUAUAAACAAUAUUAGAUGAUUCCCAGUCAGAACAUUCUAAAAAGUAGAAUUUAAAGUUUAUCCAGGAAAAAGGGUAAUUUAUUUUGCUGUGCUGUUAAUCAAAUUCAAGCAUUUUUCAAUCUUAGUCAAUCUCAAAUUGGAGAUUACUUGGCCUUAUGAUUGGUAAAUGCUUGAUAUUUCCUUACUUCAAUAACUAACAAUAUCGAUUCAUGUUAUUAUACCAAAGGUCACAAGAAAUUAACUAGAGAAGUAGCCUGUGUUCUGAUGCAAUACCAUAUGACUACUUUUGACAAACAACUUCAAGGACUACACAACCAUGUGCAUCAGCGUAAGCAGCAAUAGAACUAAGAUGGGGAAAACAAUUUGUUAAUAAGUUGAAGGACAGAUAUGCAACUUUUUUUCCCAAAGCGAUAAUGGUGCUGUAUAAUCAGAAGCGACCCACAAGUUUGACAAAGUUGUUAACAUUGAGUAUGGAGGUGAUAAAUCACAUUCUUAAUAUUUUAUUCCACUAAGCUGAAAGGAACAAAAGUAUUGGUGCUUCUAAGGAUGCACUUGUUUCUUUUGUCAGGGGGAAACCAGCUAAAAUCAGUUAUAUCAACUACAGAAUUGUGAUAAAAAAGAAAACCAUAUUCCUGACAUUAAGAAGAUAGCCGAGUUCAAUAUAGGGACAUAAUAUAACUGCAAUGAUGCAUGCCACUACCCAGAGAAACUAUAGUGCUGAACUAUUUUAACAAUCGAAAGGCAAACAUGUGAAGUGAUAAAUGAUAAGAUCAAAGUUCAUAAUAAAAGAAACCUGAAGAAGGCCCUGACUCGUGCAUGGCGCAUAUGAGAGUGAAAUAACUAUCCACUCGCGAACAAUUUUCUGGUAUAAAGAACGGACAGUAGCAACCCAAGCAGGGUCGUGAACGGCAGCUGAUGGCAGAUCAUUGUGGAUAGAAAAAAGUAGGGAAUCCAAACAAGAAGAAUUCCACAAAAUCUGUAACAAGUACCAAAGGUUCAAGUAAUCUCAGAAUCUGAAGAAAAAAUCAUGCAAUGCUGAACAUUUUAUUCAAUCUAUAUCACCAAAAACUUUAACCUGCGGAAACUUAUCUCUGAGUUGAUUCAAUAAAGUUACUGAAAUAUCACGAAUAUGCUCGUCCCUCUGAGACAAAUUUUUUAUAAGAAAACAUGCAUGGAUGGAAAGGGCAGAUUCUCUACUCUCAGCAUCAUGACCAGUCUCAGAAGCCCGUUCAUCCUGCAUCCAGAAGCAAGGAACAGAUAUUUCUGACGUUCAGUCUGUCAUGUAAAUGCAGAAAAGUUUCUUCCAACUUUCUUUCUUUUUAGGAUAUAUCCGUUGGGGUGGGCAGGGAUAGGUGCAGGUGGCAGAGACCAAGUUCCCAAGUUUUAUUUUUAAAAUUCCAGUAAAAACUUAGACAGAAGUGCUGAAAAGGUAAAACCUUCAUACUAAGAUAGAUAUAGCUGCAUAAGUACACAAUGGCAUAGAAAAAAUGGGAAAAAAAAUUCCGAGAGGAUUGUCGACCCCUUUGAAUACUCAACAAAACAGGAAAUAACAAAAUACACAAGCCCCUUGCUAAAACUUGCUUCCUCUUCCCUUGCUCUUAUCUUCCCAUAAUGGUCCAGAACUACCAAUCUCUCAACCCUGAACAUAGACUUGUUUGAGCAAACCAUAUUUCACCAGAAAAAGUUAAUACAACUUACCAAACUUAUAAACUAUCAAAAAAAUUAAGAUACGAGAAUUACUACCACACUAAAUGAAUGCAAACUCAUAUAUAGCUUCAUUUAUAAAUAUAUUAGUUUGAAUAUUAAAAAAUUGAACAAACUAAUAUAUACAAAGAAAUAAAUGGUGGACAAGACCCAUAUAGGUGGUGAAAGAGAGCAUACCAGCCAAAGUAUUGCUGUUUCAAAGGCCCGGUGAACAAUUGCUGUCAAGCACUGAGAGACAGCUGGCAUGAGAUUUGGACUUUUCAAAUACUCAAAGACACAGCUGAAGGCACUUCGAGAAGCCGUUGAAUUAGGGCUACCAUUGAGCAUGCCACCAUUACUACUGAAUCUGAUUAUCUCUAGAAACGCUACAGCUAAAAGAUAAGUUGCCUUGACACCUGUAGAACUCAGAGCAGAAAGAAUCAGAAGAGCAUACAAAAGAGGAUAUAAUGCCAUUAACUUUUCUCAAUACUGAUUGGCAAAUAACAUGGGAUAGUGAUGCUAAUAGUACCACUGAAUUUCAUCAAACCUGAGAUUGUGCCCAUUCCCGAAACCUCCACGCGCCUGCCUAAAGCAGCUGAAAGAGCAGAUCUUUGGCUUACAGCAGCUUUUUCAUUGCCACUACCUCGCCGGCUACCCGGGUUAUGAAGAGCAUUAAGUUCCAACUCAUCUUCAAGCCAUUUUACAGAGCUAACAACCUGGAUAGGAAAAAAAAUCGUUGACCCUUUUUCAAACAUAAAACAUUGAAAAUGACGAAAGAUGAAAGAUCAACCCAAAAAGUGUAAAAGAAGGGUCUUUCAAGAGCUACUCAAAAUAAUAUACUGAAAGAUCUUAAGAAUCACCUCUUAAUGCAGUAACUUUUUAUUUAUAAGCUAAAAUUUGAAACUAACUUUAAGCAUGAUUUUGUGUUGAAAUAUUUUAUUGUUGAAAAUAAACCAGAGUAAAUCAGUUCCAUUGUCAAGUUCAAGAGUAACAUAACAUGUAGUUGACAUCCUAGAUGUUUCUACAAGAGACAAUUAGUGGUCUAUUAACUAUAUUCUAUUAAAUCUUAGAAAAACUAUGACUUUCAGAAGACGUAUCUUAACUCAAGAACAGUGGUGAAUAAUGACAUAAGGCACCCUCCAUUUGUUUAAUUGCAUUAUCCACUCAUGCUCUGUUCUUCUAUCACCUCCUUUCUCCAAUCCAGCUGUUUCUUUUGAAUGCAAAGAGCCUCAUUUUAAUGAUCAGAUCAAGCCUAAAACCCUAUAUUCUGAAUACCAAAAGAGCCCCUAGAAUAUACUUCAAGAAUAAUUUGUAGGAGGGCAUUGCCCUACACUUGAUGAAUUGAAUUAUAGCUGCACGGGUCUUAUAAACAAUAAACACAAAUGAAGAACCAUCUAAUAUGAUAUCAAGACCAUCAUGCUUAAAGCUUAAGCAAAAUGGAUGUAAACGUGUUCACUAGGUAGUCUGAACCGACAUCAUGCCAACCCAGUAAAAAAAGAAAUUCCCGGUAAACAGCCCUGGCUUAAAGGUUACAUAAUGGCACAAAUAGAAGACACCUUUACACUGACAAGAAAUUGCACGCAUUUAACACAACAAACAUCCUCAAAUGUUCAUACAUCCAAAAAUUUUGACAAAACAACAAUAAGCAACAGGCAGAUAUAUUGAACUAAUAACUGAGCUGUGCUCAGCCAAAAUCCAAAGAGUUCUAGCUAUGUUUGUGAUAUGAUACAGGAUGUGAUGGAAAUCAAAUGAGGUAAGAUGUGUGUGUGCGUGUGUGUAUAAAGAAAAUAUGAACUUACUAGGGGUGGAGUCCCUUGAGAGAUGCGCUGAACUGCAGAAGCCCACUGAGCAUUCCACAUGUACGGUCCACCAACAGCCUGGACUGCAAUUACACCCAUGCUACCUACACUAUUUAGAGAAGUGGACACUGACUUUGUCGUCACCUGACCUUUUUGUAUUGGAGGAGCUAGCCCAAAAAGAGCUAUAUAGAACCACAAAUUGCGAAAUAAUUUUAAGAGUGAAGGUUCCACAUCUAUAGUAGGAUCAAAAUCCGAGCAUAUUUCAGCCACAGCAGGGAGUAGAGGACCGAGAAAAUCUGCUCCACUCCUGCAAAUGUGAAGCAUUAGUGAUCAUACAAUAUCCAAACACAUUUUAUCAAACAAUACUAUUUUGGAUCUAAUAUCAGAAUGUCUCACCUUCCACUUUUGGAUUCAGCAGCUAAGCCUACAUCUGAACACAAAGAUAGCAGACGAUGACGAAAAUCUGACCUCAAUUUGGUAUCAGUUAGGCCACCAGCAAUCACAAGAAAUCCUGCAGGAAGAGUCUAGAAUGUGAUUGAACCAGUGAGCAUAGCAUUUAAGAUGACAAAAUAUCAUAGCAAAAAAGAUACAUGGACAAGUUCUCACAUCCAAAGGGAACAGCGUACCUCAACACGUUCUAUCGUGGCUUCUGGUGCCACAGUUUUACUUUCAGCAGAGCCAACAGCAGAGAGUUUACUUAAGUAGCUUCGGAUCAAUAGAACAACAGCUUCACGAUAAGAUUUCUCAAAACCUAAACUCGCCAGGCGAGAAACAGCAUCAAGAAGCUGCAGUAACUCAACAAAAACAGGUUGAGAGAUGAUGCUGUAGGUUCAAUAUUAGCAGUAGCUAGCAAACUAGUAAUGCUAGUCAUGUAGUAUCUAAAAGACCCGACAUGAUCGCUAAUAAACCCUAUACCUGGAGUCUCAGUAGGCCUGGGGCCGAGGCAUCUCCCUCUUCUAAACUUUCAAUAAAUAGUGGUAAUAUCAAGUCAACCACUUCAGGCUUGUUAACAGAAACAUUUAAAUCCGCAAGCAAGCGAAUCAUGUUAAGUUGCCCAGCAGAAGCUGCCUGCUUAUCUUUUGCAUCAUGCGAUUGCUGAAGCUACAACAAUUAAAGGACAAACCACAUAAUCUAUCAAAAACAUAUCACUCUGGUAAAGGAGCAAAUGAAUUGGGCCUUUAUAACCAUAAACCACUUUUCAAGGCCAACGUGAAAAUCAGGCGAGGAAGAAUGACUAAUGCCUAUACAGUCUCCUGAUUAUAGUACUACCAGCAGAAUACAACAAUUGUAGUUUGAGUACACUUUCAAAUAUGAAAACAUGACCUUGAAUUGCCAAGAUUACCCAGCUCCCUUCCUACUGUUUUUAUCAUCCUGACAAGCACAUGUUACACUUCUUAUAGCUGCCAAUGCUUUAACAGCAUGCACCAGUAAAAGGUCAAACAAAAAACGCUAUAAAUGAAACUGUCCUAUGUGCUCACCUAAAGGGCAACCAGCACACAGAGCUGCCAUGGAUUAAGAGCCCAGAAGGGCUAGUUUCACAAAAAUAUCUCUUGAUACUAUGCAUGCACCAACCUCAUCUGCAGAUCUGUCAUGAUUAACAAAUGGGUUCUCUACAACAGCAUUUGUACCAAUAACUCUCUGGAUCUCCACGACUUCAACUUUAAAGAUAAAACUGAUCCCAAAAGGCAAGUACGGAAUAUCAAAAGGUAAAUGAGAAAAUGGUCUUCCGCAUCAUUCGAUUUUUAGAGGAAAACGAGCAAGACGAUGUUUACCAAAAGUUGCUGCUGAGUGCACCAGAGAAGAAUUCUAUUGAGUUGAAUUAAAAAGUUAUCAAGAACCUAGGCAAUAAUGGUGGGGAACAAUGAUGAGGACAGCAUAGAAGAAAAAACAUCCUUGCUGUGGCAAGAGCCUAGAAGGGAAGAAAUGGGAAAGAGAAAGCUUUUCUUUUGUUGAGAACCUUUAAAUGAAAAGAGACAAAGAGAACAGGGAUAAAAUGGAAGAAUAAAAUGGGCAAAAGGUUUUCUCUCAAAAGAUGGAGAGAAAAUGAAAGAAAGUUGACAAUUCCCUUGUAAAAUUUUUCUGAAAACCAACUUUAAUCAUCAAAUGCUCACGAACAAAAAAUUAACGUAUUAUCAAUCCAAAAUCAUUUUCCCUUCCCUUCUUCUCUUUCAUAACUUUAUGUUUACGUUUCUGUUCGCUUCUUUCCGUUUCUCUCCAAACUCCCAAACUAAGCCCACGUAUCAGAAAAUGACGAAUUUAGGCUCCCAUCUCAUAGCUCAUGCAUGAAGAGAAAAAUGUAAAGACACACACUAAACGGAUAGUUGACUAGUGGACAAACAUGCAUAUGCUUUUGCAACUUCAAGAAUGCAAAUUCAUGUCCAAUAUGUACAUGAUAGCAACUUAAACAGUUUGCAAUUCAAAAUGUCAAUGAGUUGCAUAUCAACCUACCUCUUCUUCAUAAUCUUUACGUUCACGAAAGCUAGUAGCUAAUCCCAUUAUAAAAGUAUCCACAGGCGGCCGUUCCUUGAUCCAUCCAUAUUCAAUUAUUUCACAAGUUGCUUUCAAGACACUCUGAAACAUUGCACCCUGGCUGCUGCCCCAAGUGUCAGCCUGUUUGAAAAAAUGAAAGUGCACCAACAUUUCAGUAAGUGACGCAUUCAAGGCACUAGAACUUAGACCAUCACAACUCAAAUAAAUGGUAAACCUGAAUACAAGUAGUCAGCACUAGGGGCUUGAAACGAAUAAGCAAAACUCGCAACAGCUGGCCACCACGUGCAACAGCAGCUUGGGAAAUUCCACCGAGUAAAGAGCCAAAUAGCUCCUCGCAAAUCCUCAACUUCCGCCACACUGAAAAUAAACAUGCCUCAGCAGCCUCUAUCAACAAUGCAAGAGUUCCAUGCAAGAACCUCUUUGAUGACUUUCCGUCAAGGUCAACAGAUGCAAGAAUCUUAAUCUGUAACUUAGCCACUGCUUGGUAAACAGAUAGCUUGGUACUGACUCUUGCUUUCAAUAAAUGCCCUUGUUCAGACCAGUCACGCUUUCUUAUCUGCCCAGAGAAGAGACAAGAUAACCGGCUCAACUUUCUUUCACUAGUACUGCCCUUUUCCUUCUAAAAAUCAAUUUGUGGCCUAGUAACGAGUUACAAAAACUAAAAGAUGAAUAAUUCAGAAAUCCUACCUUUAAAAAUGCUAACAUUGAUUGGAGUUGUUCCUUUGUGACAAGUCUCACUUGUUCCAAAAGCUUGGAAUCAACCGUGGCCUUAUCCAAUAUAUGCCUUAUCAAUUUAAAAGCAAUUUCCUGUUUUUCAAGGUUCUCCAAGGACUCUUGCUCAAAAGAUAUAAGAAUUCCCUUGCCUCCACCGCCAUCAUUUAGCCCUGUGCUUACGUUCAAGAUAUCCACAUUGCUCUUCCAGCCAGCGCUGCCCCCAUUGGUCACAAUUCCCUUUGAUGACGACGCAUCAUCAGCAACGCUGCCAGAUGAUCCGGAGGCAUUACUCACCUCAUUCCCUGGACUUGCCCUCUCAUUAGAGUGAUAUGGAAAAUGGUUCAAACUCAAGGGUGAACUCUGACUUGAAGCAGCCUCGGAAGAAAUAAGCUCCCUCGGUGAAUUGGGAACCAUGAUUUCAAGCCGUUCAAGAAGACACGAAACUAACCUGUUAGCAUCAGACGAAAGAAUGGGCGGGAAAUUCAAGGCCAAGGCGUUCAAGAAAACCCUGGAAAUCCCCAAAUCCCCAGAGACAUUGCCUGUGGCAGAGAUCACAAUUUCUCCAGUGAAGCCAGCAAUGUCAGUUGCAAAAUCAGAGGCUGACUCCGCAGCUCUACACAUAUAAGCAAAGUAGUCGUUAAAGAAGGAGGCAAUCGCGUCAUUGCCAAAUGAUUGGGGCCAGAAAGAAGGGGUGAAAGAGGAUGGAAUUGCGCGAUAGAAGGCAAGGAGGAGGGAUUUAGGCCGUUGAUCGUCGUAAUUUGGGCAUUUGGAGAGGAAACGAGCCACUGCCAGGACGGCAUUGAGCUGAGAUCUCGAAACCCUAGGAGAUCCGGUAAGGAGAGCCUCCGCCGAAGGACACCGGCCGCAUAUCCAGACCAACUUGUCAGCGAAUUGCUCGGGUUUUUCAGCAAUUAAGUCACACAGCUCGAUCAACGAUUCCAUUUCCGCAAAUUUAAGACCAGAAGGCACUAACAAAUCAACGUGUAAAUUAGCUCAUUCCCGCAUUGCAAAAUUGAAUUCUUCUGCGCCAUGAUCGCCAUCUGAAUUAUGUUCAAAGAUUUUGGUGAAAUCACUCUUAGUUGAAUAAAUAGCAAAACUACACACAAUUGAAGAGAAAAUUCGAGCUGUCCGCGAAAUUGCAUCAGAGAAACUAGAUCACAUAUGAGAGGAAAAAUGCGGACUGCAAGGGUCAAAGGUGAGAGAAUUGACAAAAGUAACACGAGUAAAUAAAUAUCCACGUAAAAAGCAUUUUAAAAAAAAAUAAUGCUGUCGGAUAAUUGCAGAAAAAAGAUGUGAAAUUAGGGUUUACAGCGGCUGUAGUUGAAGGGACGACCGGAGGUGGUACUGGGUCGUGAAGAUCUAUGCGGCGUCGUAACGUCGCUGUUGUUCCUGCAACCUUUGUUGUUUCUGCAACGUCUCGCGCCCUCUCUAUCUCUCUCGCUCUUUUCCUUUUUUUUUUUUAAUAUUUUCCCACCUUUCUAAAUUCUAAUGUUCGGUCUCGAAUGCCUUUUUUUCGCUCCACCUCCUCCUUUUUUUUUUUUUCCCCACUAGUACUUUUCGCCCUUUUUUUUUGGUAAUUUUCUGCCCUUUUUUUUAACAAACUCGAAGGCCGCCUUGGGUAAUAUAACUGAUGAUUAAGGGGCCCAACCCGGUUUCUAUGGUGCUCGAUGGAAUCAUAUGAAUCACCACGGGUACAGGAAAAAAGCCCACUUUCAUGAUUGAUUGAAAUUUGAACUAGUGUUUCAUAAUACAUACAAAAGAUACAGUUACAAACAUUGAUAAAACAUGGUAUAACGAAUUUUUAUUUAAUACUUUAAUGAGUUGUGGUGAAAAGAAAAUAAAAAUAAAAUUUUUACAACUUUCAUAUAUGUAAAGACACAAAAAAAUUCAUCGUUAUUGUGCCAUUUGGAAGACGAGUCUCUCGCUAUGAGAGCAAUUUUCUCUCUAUCCUAGAGAGAGAAAAUCCCCCUCUGUGGUGUCCACAUUUUCUUGAAAACUUCAAAAAUUGAAUUACCAAUUUAGAAGCCAAUCUUAAAACUUUUCAUUCAAGGAAAUUUACCGAUCUCAUCCAUUAUCUUUGGAAUAGCGUUGGAUUUUCUAGUGACAGUAGCCAUAACUAUUUCUAUUUUCCAGUUCCUAUUGAAUAAGAUGUGAUAGCUUUCAUAUCUAAUCACAAUUUUCUUCUUCGUUGUGUUUUGCUAGUCUUAGUUAUUUCUGCUUCUAAUCUUGUUUUUGGUUUGUUUGUUUUGAAUUAGGAGUAACUGGAAUUGAACUUGUUGGGAGGUAUUACAAGAACUCGGAUUAGGUCCGGAUCUGUGUGGGACUAGAAGCAUAUCGGAAACUAUAGCGUGAGAUUUGUGGGAAGGAUCAUGGAGAAUAUUGAAGAGGUAUUAAGAAGAUUCAAAUUCUCAGAGGAGGAAAGAGAUGGAGUUCAUUUGGACAACAAAGAAAUGGCUAAAGGUGUUCUGGAAUGCAAACUGAGCUUGAUUGGUAAAGUUUGGGGGGGAAAGCAGACAAAUAUUAGAGGAGUUAAGAGCUUCGCAAACAGUAUGUGGUCACAGGUGAAUAAUCUGAAAGUAAUGGAGAUUGGACAUAAUUUGUUCCACUUUAUUUUUGAGAAGGAGAAUGAUAUAGAGGUAGUGAUGAGCAAGAGGCCAUGAAUCUAUGAUGGUCAACCGUUAAUUCUACUGCAGUGGAAAACUGGUUUGGAGAAAAAUGAAGAAGCCCUGAGUAAAACAUUAAUUUGGGCCCAAAUCCAGAAUAUACCCUUACACUGGGUCACGAAGGAAGCAAAAAAGAAGAUUGGCAUCAUAUUUCCAAAAGUAAAUGAGGUGAUCAUUCCGCAGAGUAGAGGAAAAGAAAGUAAACAUCUAAAAAUUUUGGCUGAAAUUGAUCUUUCUAUUCCAUUACCUAAAGGGUUUAUGGCCAAUAGUAAUGGUUUAAGAGGUGGAUUGAAUUUAAAUAUGAAAAAUGUCUAAAUUUCUAUUUUGAUUGUGGAUUGAUUAGACAUAGUGAACGAAACUGUAGUAAAAAAGGAAUGAAUAUAGGAAGGGAACUUCGGUAUGAAAAUUGGUUGAGAGCCAGUUAUCCUCGAAAUCCUACUAAGAAAAAUGGAAAUGGAAAUGGGACUGGGGGUGUUAAAGAAGAGAGACACCAAACUCAGGACAAUAGGAAUGUAAAAAGAGAUGAACAUAAGUUGCUGCUAACCUAUACAAAGAAAUUCUAUAAGGUGAGGAACUAAAACAAACUUCUGAGAAAUAGUUGACUCUGAAUACUGGUUUGAUGAGUAGAAAGGUGAAGAGUACGCAUGAAGAGAGCGAGACUGAAAGGGUUGAGAAUGGGAAGGGAGAUGGGAAACAGGGGGAAAAAGGAUUAGGUAAGGCAGGAGGUAGGGACAUUGGAAAGAGAAAGGGGAGUAGAAGAAAAAAAAUGCAAAUGGAACAGCAGGAUGGAGGAAGUUUUGAGAAAACAGUGGAAGGAGCAGAUGAUCUGAUGUGGAUUGAUGGUGUCCAGAGUAAGAAUAAUAAGGAUAAGAUUGCUAAGGAAAUAAUAGAAGAGAGGAAAUGUGAGAUAACAUAUGAGGGAGAUGAAGGUAAAGUGGAGGUAGGAAAGCAAAAGGGUAGGGCUAAAGGGAAUCAAAUGGUAAGUAAGAGAUGGAAAAGACUAGUGUUGGACGGGAGCAGGAGAAAACCACUGGUUGAGGCUAACAAAGAAGUUACUAGAACUAAAAAAGAUAAAAUAAAGGUGGAAAUUAUGGAUUGAGAAAGAGAUGAGGUGCAAGUAGGGAAGGAAAACUGUAAGAAAAUCAGAGUUGAGAAUGGAAAUAGUGACUCGAUGGAACUGUCCGAGGGAUUAGAGCCCACUCUAAAUGAGGCUUCAAGGUUUAAAUGAAGGCUAUGGUAUGGAACUGUCAAGGUGUGGAGAACCCCUUGACAGUUCCUCAACUGAUGGAGGUCAUUAGACUCCAUUAUCCUUCAUUAGUGUUCUUGUCAGAAACAAAGAAGAAAAAAAUUAAAGCUAUUUGAAUAAAGUGAAACAGUGGAUUAAAUUUGACAAUGUGUUUGUUGUUGAUCUAAUUGGUAUGGCUGGGAGUUUGGUUGUAUUAUGAAAAAAUGUGGUGCAAGUGAAAAAGUUUUUGUUUACAAGUUUUACUAUUGAAUUGCUAAUAGAGGACAACGAAGUUAAGAUUGACCGGUAGUGUAUAUGUGCUUAUGCUAGUUCAGAUGUAGGUGUUAGAAGAGAGCAGUGAAAAUUAUAACUAGAAGAAGCAUAAUAUGGGGUAAGUACUGUGCUAUAAUGGGUGAUCUCAAUAACAUUACCUCUAAUGGUGAAAAUGGAGAGGUAAAUAGAGAGUUGAGGUAAGGUUCCAAGAUUUUAACUCCUUCAUAAAUAAUAAUGAACUGGUUGACAUUGGAUUUGAAGAAAUUCCUUGGACCUGGAGCAAUAACUAGGGAAAUGAGGAAGAGGUAAAAGAGAGGUUGGAUAGGAUAUUAUGAACUAAAGGCUGGAUAGAAAAGAUUGAUAAGGCAAAAUGUAUACAUGUAGAAACUGAGGGAUCUGAUCACUAUAUACUAGUUCUGGAUACUAAGCCAAUGGGAAAGAAAUGGAAAAAAAGAUUUAUGUUUGAUAGAGAAUGGUUACAGCAAGAAAAUAUAGGGGAGGUAAUAGGGAAAGCUUGGAGAGAACACCAACCAGGGUCCAGGUUAUAUAAAGUUCAAUGUAAAAUAAAAAAAGUCAGUGUAUUUACUUAAUUGGAGUAAAGGAUGCUUUUGCAACUCUAAGAAACAGAUAGAAUUGGUUAAAAAGAAAAUUAAAGAAGUCAAUAAGAGUAAAACUAAUGGUUAUAGGAUUAAUUUGGCUGGUCUUAAGAGGAAACUGGCUGAAGCUUAUAAAAGGAAAGAACUAUAUUGGAGUUAGAAGGUUAGGGUAAAGUGGUUAAAGGAGGGGGAUAAUGAUACUAGCUAUUUUCAUGCUAAAAUGACUGGUAAGAGGAAAAUGAAUAGGAUUAAUGUGUUGCAAAAAAGGAGUGGGAAUUGGUGUGAGAAUGAAGAGGAAACUUGCCAGGAAAUCAUAGACUAUUUUAAGCAGAUUUUUACUUCAGAAAAAUUAGAUGACUUUGCAAAAAUUUUACAACGAGUCCCACGUACUAUCCUUGCUAAGAUUAAUAGGAAGUUGACUAGAAAGUCACAUAUCAAAAAAUUAGUCAUGUAGUCUUUUUGAUGCAUCCAAACAAGUCUCCAGGGCCAAAUGGUAUGUCCCCUUUUUUCUUUCAAAAAUUUUGGCAAAUUGUUAAAACUAAUGUUGUUAAUACAGUGCAAAAUUUCUUUCAUUCUAGUCGUCUUCUUAAAUCUAUCAAUGAGACCUUGAUAAGCCUUGCUCCUAAAAUUGACUCCCCUAGAACAUUCAAAGAAUUUAGACCUAUUAGCUUGUACAAUGUUAUCUAUAAAAUCAUUUCUAAAGUACUUACAAACAGAUUCAAGAGUGUUUUGAACUACUGCAUUAGUUAUUCCCAAUCUGUCUUUGUUCUUGGAAGACAGAUUUUAAAUAAUAUUCUGAUUGCUCAUGAAAGGGUUCACUUUCUAAAAAAUAAUAGGACUGGGAGAGAUGGUUAUAUGGCUAUCAAACUAGAUAUGUUUAAGGUUUAUGACAGAGUAGAAUGGGUGUUUUUGGCCAAAAUAAUAUUGAAAAUGGAUUUCUGUCCCAGGUGGAUAUAAUGGAUUAUGGAGUGUAUUACUAGUAUAACCUAUUCUGUAAACAUUAAUGGUGAGAAAACUGGUUUCAUUAGGCCAAGUAGGGUUUGAGACAAAGGGACCUUUUAUCCUCUUAUUUGUUUCUAAUUUGUCCUGAGGGAUUUUCCUCCUUGUUAAAGCAAGCAAAUGUAUAGGGAAGAUUGACAGGAAUGAAGAUUGCUCAAGGGUCUCCUAGCCUAUUUCACUUAUUUUUUGCAGAUGACUCGUUGAUUUUUUGUAAAGCAAGUGCUGAAGAGGCAGGGCAACUAAGGAGAAUACUAAAUGUGUACGAAUGAGCUUCUGGUUAGCUGAUCAAUGUAAAGAAAUCAUCACUGUUCUUCAGCGGGAAUGUGCAAGAUAGGAAAAGAGAAGGAGUGAUGAAAGAGUUGCAAGGAGUGAAACAGGUUCUGCAAAGUAACUAUCUGGGGUUGCCUUUGGUCAUUGGAAGAUCCAAGAGAUAAGUUUUUGACUUUAUAAGGCAAAAAGUAAUUGCAAGGCUAAAGGGAUGGAAGGAGAAAUUAUUGAGUUGCUCAAAUCUGUCAUAAUGGCACUGCCUACUUAUGUCAUAUCCUGUUGUUUUUUACCAAAGAUUUUGUGCAAGGAAGUAUGUUCAGAAUUGACAAAGUUUUGAUGGGGGUAGAAGGAAAAUAAACAUAAAGUUCACUGGUUGAGUUGGGGAAGAAUGACAAAAGUCAAAGCAAAAAGAGAGUUAGGUUUUAGAGAGUUACAUGAAUUUAACUUGACAUUGUUGGCAAAGUAGCUUUGGAGAAUUUUGGCUAGGCCUAAUUUACUGGUGAGCAAAAUAAUGAAAGCUAGAUACUUUAAGGGAACAUCUAUUUGGAAGACAAAGAGUUCUGGUGCUGACUCAUGGUGUUGGAAAAGUUUUUUGAAUGCAAAGGAACAACUGGAGGAAGGAAUAAGGAAGCGAGUGGGAGAUGAAAAAUCUAUAAACAUAUGGGAGGAUAGAUGACUCCCAGAAACUGAGGAUGGAAUAGUUAAGGCUAAGGAUGUGGAGGGUAUAAAGGUUCAGAGAGUGAGUGAGCUUAUUAAGGAUGGGAAGUGGGAUAAGGAGCUGAUUGCUCAGGUCUUUGAAGAGGAGAAAGGGAGAAAAAUAAUGAGAAUUCCACUCAGUGUGCAACCUAUGAAAAACAGAAUAUACUGGGUAAUGUCAAGUACUGGGGUAUAUACAGUAAAAUCAAGAUACAUAUUGGCAAAAAACAUGAAAAGAAGGGAGGGUCAGUGGAGGUCAGGUGCAGAAUUCAGCUACAGAAGUAGAAGUGCAACACAAAGCUAGAAUUUUUUAUGGGGAUUGAACAUGAAGCAUAAAAUUAAGCAUUUCAUCUGGAGAUGCCUGCAAGAAAUUUUACCAGUGAAUACAGUAAUAAAUGGAAGAUGCUCAGAAGGAAAUCAUAUAUGCAAGUGUUGUGGGGAAAGCCCAGAAACCAUUGAACAUAUGUUGUUUUUUUGUAGCAAUGCCAAGUCUAUCUGGAAAGCUGCUUCACUGAGCUGGAAGGGUCUGGAGAUUUACAAAAAUAAUUUUGGCAUUGAUGGGAAGAACUAAAAGAGGCUAUGAACAAGGAGAAUGGAAGAAAGUGUAUUGUUCUGAAUGCAAAUUUGCUUUGACAAAUCUGAAAAUCAAGAAACGAGAGGCAAUUUAAUGACAAAGGAAGGGACCCAAUGGUAGCAACUAAUAAAGCGAUAAUGGAAUGGAAGGAGUACCAAGAAACUCAGGAUGCAGAGAUAGAAAUUGGGGAAUGUAUUGAGAGCAAAGAAGAAGUGUGGAGUGGUUGGAAGAAACCAAAGGAGAAUUGGGUUAAGAUGAAUUCUGAUGCAGCUCUACCCCAAAAAAUUGAUAAAGUAGGCUGGAGAAUAGUUGCGGGGAACUGGCAAAAAAAGGUACUGGGAGCUUGGGUAGUGCCAAACUCAAGCUGCUAAAAUCCAAAGCUAGAGGAAGCAUUGGCGUUAAGAACUGCUAGGCUAGUGGCGAAGCAGCAAGGAUGGAGAAUAGUGAAAUUUCAAACAGAUUGUAUGCAGGUUGUGAAUGGGAUAAGUAGAGAGGAAGAUGAUGUAAUCAUUUCAACAGUAGCAUCUGAUAUCAGGAAACUUAAGUCCAACUUUGAUGAAUGUUGUUUUACCUUUACUAGAAGGGUAAACAGCUUUGUCAGUCAUAAAUUAGCUAAGAUGGCUAUUAACUUGAAGGAAUCUGCUAAAAGGACAGAUGACUUCCCAGUCUGGCUGCUUGAGUUAGCACAAGCAGAUUGUAAGGGCAGUUGUUCAUCUCUUAUAUAAUCUAGGUUAGACUAUUAAUAAAGUAUUGCCGUUUCGAUAUAUAUAUAUAUAUAUAUAUAUAUAUAUAUAUAUAUAUAUAUAUAUAUAUAUAUAUAUUGUACCAUUUGGAAAUCUCAUGCAAUUUCUUUUUCUUGGAUCGUACCUCUGGUGAGAAAUAAGAAACAAUCAUCCGCUGAUUCUUAAUCUGUAAAAUAUUGCUGAUAAUACAAAAAUGUUUUUAUUUAUUUGCAAAUUGGCCUUCAGCAAAAAGAGAAAAGAAAAUUCAAAUACAGAAUAAACUUUUUUUAUGUGCAGCGAGAUGAGACCAAUUAAUUCAGUUCCCAAACUAGUCUUAAUUAGAAAAGUAAGUAGAUGCUCCAAAUCUAAUUUCUUCUGGAAUAUAAAAAAUGCACUGUAACGAUUUGAUAUACAUAAAUGAGAUGACAAGGUAAUUAGAAAAUUUGUUAACUGAAAACGUCGAAUUUAUUUGAUGAAAAAAAGCUUUUUAAACAAGACCUUAGUGUAUAUAUACAAUUACAAAUGCUAUCCUGUCAGAUAUGCAUACAAACAAAACCCAAAUACGUACUGAUCAAAAGUUAAAUCCCAAAAAUAAGUACCAAAAGUUUAACCAUGUAUCAUUGGUAUUUAAGACAAAACAAACGAAUUUCCUAUCAUGUGUGCAAACCACAAUAAAAAAACUGUCUGCGUAUAUCCGAUAACCCUCGAAUUAACUUUUCCGCAAGAGAGAUAAGAAUUAAACAAAAGAGACCCAAAACUGUCAUAGAGAAACAAGCCCCGCACUGAAAUCUGUCGUGCUUACCAAAGCAAGGUAAGACAAAACUCUGAAAUGAAGUUACAAAAUAAGGCUAAUUAUACUACACGCACCAGGAAGGGGAAAAGAAAAGAGGAUAAUACCAUAGAACGAGGGAACGGCUGCAUAAAAUGAUAAAAAUGGUAAAGAUGAGAAACAUUCUUAACAACUGUCUAGUACAAGUCCGAUGAAUAGAAAUAGGAAAGAUUGAUCUAAUCAUCCAAAUGAAACACUUUAGAAUUCUAAAUCAAAUUCCACAAUGUCCAAAUCGAAUAUUUUUGCACUGUAAAUCAAACUACACAAUGCCCAUCAGAUAUUAACACUUAAACAGAAUCAGAAUUUGAGCACCAUAAUUAACAAAUCACAUCUAAAUCCGAAACUUCACUAAUUCAAAGUUCAUCAUCCCUGAUACCACCUAUCAGGAAUGCCUACAAGGAAUAACAGUUCCAACAAGUUGUAACCCUCAAAAAUCAAUCACCUUCAUCCUGUGGUUAUACAUAUACACUAGAGAUCAUCAUACUAGCUACAGCUAGAAGAACGAAUCCAAUCCAAGAAAUCAGAAGUAGACUACCAUGAUUCUUCUUUUUCUUCUCUUUUUUUUUUUUCCCUUUUUCUUCAGCGAUCAAAAGGCCCAUUGGGAUCAAGCUGUUUGCACAAACCAAGGUACGUAAGAUAAAGGACACGAUCUUUGGCCCCCGUACGAUGAUUCUUGCACUACUACAAAAAUGUCAUUUUAUGACAUUUAAAAGCGUCAUUAUAGCUCGAUGUAAUGACGUUUGAACUAUAAUGACGCUCUGCUAGAAACGUCGUCCAUUCCAGCGUCACUAUAAGUUCAUGACAGUUAUAUGAGUCCUAAUUUGUAGUUCUAUUGGCAUUUAUAAACGUUAUUAUUUAUCGUUUUAAUGACACUUUUAAAUGACAAGAAAUGCUGGAGAACGGUUAAGGUUAUAUGAAUCUAAAGUGAUACUCGAUGCCUGUCAUUUAUUGGAUCUAUCAUGACGCUUCUAUUAUGUAAGUACAAUAAGAUAGUAUGACACAUUCGCCGUAUAAGUAAAAUGAAAUAUUAUGACACUUUCAUGGUGUAACUAGAUUAGAUUGUUCUGACACUUGUUAAUAUGAAAUUUUGUGAAUAUUAUGAACCGCAAAACUCGAAGUGGUGACACUUUUAAGUGUCAAUACAUCAUAUUGCAUUAGCCCUGUAUCCCAUCCGAGGUUUUAUACCCAAAAGUAGAAUCACAUUUCAUCCUGCCUACACAAUAUAGAUUCUAAUUUUUGCAAUAAUAAAGUUAUUACUACCACCUUAUAAAGGAAAACCAAGGCGAUUUACAUUUUCAUAGUAAUCACUGCAAUACAAGUAGCCAAAAUGGUGCAAAAGUACUGCAUUGAUCCAAGCAACUGACAUUGCUGCUAUGUCAACAAAUUACAUGCCAAUUCAGAGAUUUUUCAAAAGUUAUGAGUAUUACAGUAGCAUUGCCAAUACAUAUCAAAGAAGCAAUAGUUCAACAAGAACUCAACAAAAAAAGCAUUGACAAUGUCUUCAAAAAAUAGCCAUUUGACCCAAGGACGAUCCUUUAGUUUUCUUCAAGAAUCACCUACAAGUGUCAUAAACCAAGAAAUAGAAGUUACAAUCACAUCUACAGCUCUUCUUUUACAGUUUUAAUGUUAGAAAAUAAAUAAAAGCUAAGUUAACCAAAUGAUAAAGAUAAGAUAAAAAGAUUACCAGGUUUAUUGGCCAAGCAACAGCUACUCCAAUUGCAUCUCCAAUCUUGAGAAAAUUAUGGUAUGGCCUCAUUAGCUCUUCAUCAUUCUCCACAGGCACAUUCACAUGAAUUUCACACCAAUGUGAUCCCAAAGGUAUGUCACCAACUUCAGCAGUUGGAUCCAAAUUUCUAACCACACCAACAGCACAAAUUUCUUGUGGGGAAAGUGCCACAAAACCUUGUGGGGAACCUUUCUUUUUUCACCAGUAGGAUCAUCCUUUGUUCCUUCCCACCGUAGAUGCUUACAAGUGUCACAUUUUAUCUUUGAUUCAUCUUUUCCCCAAUACAAUGUGCAAUCAUUAGGACAUGCAUCAUAUUUUUCGUAUCCAAGUCCUAGUUCUUUCAUUGUUUUUUUUGCUUCAUAAUAAGAAUUGGGUAGAUUUACACCUUCUGGGAGUGCUUGCCUCAACAAAUCAAGAAGUGUAUUAAAUACAGAAUCGGGCAUUUUGCUGAGACAUUUAAUAUGUAACAAGCGGACCAGAAAAGAUAGUUUAGAGAAUUGCGGGCAAUCUGGAUAAAGGGGCUGCUUCGAAUCAUUUAUUAAAUUGUAGAAUUUUUCUGCCUCAAUAUUCGGCUGUUCUGGUUCUAAUCUUUCUCCCACAUCUAGGUUCUGGUUUAGAACUCCUACUGCAUCUUGUAACAACCCCUGCAUAUCAUCUAUGGGAUUGAGUGGUGGAACUUCAUUUGAUGAGCCAUGUGAAGAUGUAUGAUGCAAAUUCGAAGAUAGCUCUCCAUGAGCUAACCAUUGAGUAUAUCCCUUAAUAAAUCCUUUCCAUAUCAAGUGUGAUUUGGCCUGCUCUCUCGUGACAAAUACCCCAUUCCCACACCUAAUGCAUGGGCAUAAAAUCAUCUCCCCUAUACUUCCAUUUGUAAAUGCAAAAUCAAGAAAAUCUUCUAAACCAGCUUUAUACUCAUCACUUGAUCGUGACAUACUCAUCCAUCUUUUAUCCAUGUUCACAUAGAUUCUAAUUAUAAAAAAAAAAAAAAGCUUCAUUAGCAUCUACAAGAUAGUUCUACCUAAACUAUUACUGAUUUUUGCAUAAAAUAUUUACUUAGAUAAGAAAACUAAUUUCAAUGAGAUUAAUAGAAGACACAAAUCACUCACGAAAUAUCUUCUAAAGUAAAGAUACCAAAAGUAUCAAAACAGAAUGUUAGCACCAAUCCAAGUGUUCUAGACAUAUCAGAACAGAAUCUUCACAUAUCCAGGUGUUCUAGACAUUUGAGUAAUAAGAACUAAUCCAAAAGUAUCAAAACAGAAUAAUAUCAAAAGGAAAGACGGCAAAAGUUCAAUUCCAGAUUGUAACACACAAACUAUAAAACAUAUGGUAGGUACAAAAGAACUUUUCUUAACUCCCUCCAAACUAGAAACUUUUUAAGAAGUACCUGGAUCAAUUUCUCAACUCCCUCCAAUCUAUCAACAGUGUAUUGCCCAGAGAACUGCAAACCAAAAAAUUAUUUGGGCAGUAAAUACAUAUAUCAAAGAACCAAAUAACAAUACUCUGACAUAAACUAGCUUACCUGAUUUGAUAUGGAAGGCUGGUAACCCUUCACAGGAGUGUUGAAACCUAAGUUUGGCACAUUAACUGAAGUACUGGUAUUUUCUUGCAACUUCUAUAGGAAGAAAAUGAAAAAGAUCAAUUGAAAGAACCAUCAGAAACCAAAAAAAUGUUUCAUAAUCAUGCCUAAUGGCAUGUGAGAUAUGCAAACAUUUGAAGCCUAUCUCAUAAAAACUUGGAUUAAUACCAUUAAUACCCGUAACCUGGUAUUGUAGCAGUGCACGUAUAAACAAUCAGCAAAGUGGUUUGCAAUCUCAUUAUACUUAGUGACAGGCCUGAACUUACAAAAAAGGAAAGCUAAUCUUCCAAUUCAAAAACUGAAAAAAAUGAAACUUGGAAGAAAUAGAGUGAACAACUACAAUUCAUUUGCGCACUUGCCAUGCUAUAACAUGCUCCUACUGAAUCUUCACCCAGGCAUAUUAAUCAAUACAGGGUAAACGGACAUUUGUAUACGUGCAGUAAAAGUGUCUUAUAUAUACCUACCAUAUGGCCUAAAAAUUUUACCCUUUCACCACCUCACACUCCAUGCUAAAGUGAAACUGUUAAUAAUUAGAAAUAAAAUUUAAAAAGUGACUCCUUAGAAUCCUCACUGCUAUUAGUACAAUCUUAUAAUUGAGUUUAACGAGUUAUUAGUUCUCAAAAGGUAGCCUAUGAGAUUGGAAAUGAGUAAAUUCAAAAUGAUACAUUUCAUGAUUUUUUUUUUCAAAACAGUGAUACCAUUCCAACUGGAUGAUUCUGGUACUAGGUAAGUGGGGUUUCCCCACAACAAAUAUUAUGUGGGCAAAACAAGACACACUGAAAAACUCUGUUAAUUCUGCCAUAUUGCGUCCGCCACAUACUAGAGCCCAAUUUAGAGACCCUGUUGACUGCCUGGUUAGGCAUGAGUGAGCAAGAGAGGGAGGUGAAGGAUCCUAUAAUUGAGGCCAUGGCUGGAUCAAGAGAGAAAAAUGGAUCUGAAGAGAGGAAAAGAAGGAAGGAAAAUUGGGAAAGGAACGAAGUAGCGGAGAGCACGAAGAGUGUGUAUUGUUUACUUUGAGCCCCUUCAGCAUAGAUCAAUCUCUCAAUUAAUUGCUUUUUUUUUUCUAAUUUCAGUGAGUUGAAGGAUCAAAAAAUUUCGAAACAAAAUUUUUUCCUUUCUUAAGCAGAAAAGGACUACAUGCAUUCUUAGUUAAAAUAAACAUAUCCUUCAACAGUAUCCUGACAUGAGGAAUGCCUUUUGUUGCCUUUUCAUUCGGAAGCAAAAGCAAAUAUUUGUGGGAGGAAAAAUUCCAAGUCAUACAACCUGUGUCAAAGAAGAAGACAGCAAACAGGUGAUCUGUGUAAGAGCAACGCACUGGCAGAAGGGAUUUAGAUGUUUACAGUACAUUGGAAUCAAUGUUUCCUUCCAAAUGAGGAGAAGUGUGUGGGUUUUGAAGCAUGAUGUGAAAGAUGGGUGAUGAAAUUCUCGGGGAAGUUUCCAACGGCAGAACCAGCAGAACAGAACUGUAAAAUCCAUAGUAAUGAAGGACAGGGAUUCACUUGACAGGUGUUAUUGCUGCCAAAAGUCAUUUUGUGGUCGGAGAUGUACACAUUAGCAAAUGGUAGGAAGAGGAGAUUUUGCAAAAUGAAAGCAAGUGGUUGGUGGUUACAUUCAUCACAAUAAUCUUAUUAACUAUAAAGGUUGCACCACAAGGACAGCUAUAAAGGUUGUCACAUGGAAUUUGAAUCUUCCUUUUUAUUCUGUUCUUUUUUUUUUGGGUCAGUUUGAUUAAUUCAUCCAUAACAUCCCCUUUUAUUCAUCCCCAAUUAACCCAAUUUCACAUACGCUGCUGUUGCAGAAUUAGUAUUACUCACAAUUCAAGGUAAAAGCACUCAUUUACAAAAUUUAGAUUCCGUCUUACCUGAAUUUUCCUUAUGCAAGAAAGGAACAGCAAUAUCAGAAGUAAAAGCAUCCUAGAUACAAAAUUUAGUUGUCAAAUGGAGCAGCUAGACAUCGGAUGCUGUCCUUCAAAAUGAGGAAUCAUUUGGAUCUUUAAGACAAAUUCAAAAAAGCUACCAUCUUAAGUUUUACUGUAUGACACUAUGUCUAAGUACUCUUGGAGAGCUGUUAUGCUUCUUUGCAACAGAAAAAACAUAAACAAAAGAUAAGAAACCAGAAAACCUGAAAAUCACCAUAACUGAAGAAACCGUCGCUUACCAACUCCACAAUGCAGAACGAUAUCAGAAAAUUUCCGAAUAAACAUACGAAAUAGUGUAUCAGACGAAUUGAAAGGCCAGUUUUGUUUCCCUACAAUUUUCCCAUCCACAUCUACUCUUCCUGCCAUUUCGUCUUCCCCAAAUCCUUAACCCUCUGUCACCCACCUUGCUCCUACCCCAUUUCCCAUGCGUUCCCGGAGAAGAAAUAAAGUAAUAAAAAAAAAGCUAUCAAUUUUGUUGCAAAUGUAUAGGUUACCUGGUAGUAAUCUUCCUUCAGAUGGCAAUUUUCAACGAACACCGUAGCUCCACUGUUGCUAAAAACCCAGAUACCAAUUCCCGUUCAAACUCCAUGCUAAAAACUCCAUGAUGUUGUUGAUUAAGCUACCUUCUUAAAGGUUUACCUGUUUGUCUUCAAAUUGGAGAGAGUUAAAAAUCGGGUGGAAGAAAGAGAAAGAAACAAGGGAUUCGGUGGUGAGAGGGGCGAAGGAUUUAGGUUUUUUACAGAGAGUUUAUUUGAUUGAGGGUUUUAGGAGAGAGCACUCGGAUGAAAAAAGAGUAAAGUACAUUGGAUUCAUUGGAGUAGUUAGAAUAUUUCCCCCAAAAAAAUGGCGCCGAAGUGUAGCGCCAUUCUCUUUGCCGUUUUUGUUUUUCAUUUUUUACUUCUAUUUGGAUAAGUUAGAGUGAUACGAUGUCGUACUGGUCAUUUUCUUUGUCACUUUAAUGACGUUCCUUACUGCAUGUUACAUUAACUUGCUGUUGUGACACUUUUAGGAAAAUGUCAUAUUAAGUGUGUGACUAAAGGUGCUUUUUGUAGUAGUGUUGGUAUGCUUGCAGAAAUAUUUAAGCUGCUCCAACGUACAACAACCAAGCAUCUGACCCAAGAGCAAGAACAACCAAUUAAUGGCUUUCUUCUUUUAGGGAAUGAUGGGCUUAACGCAAUUGUCUUGUUCACAUAACUUGCAAGCUGGUAGAACCGGGUUCAUCCAAACCCCAGGGGCUCUGUCAUGCAUGCCGCUUUUGUUCUCAGCAAUGAAACUCCCAACUUCAAUGAACUUUUCCGUCAAAUCGUACUCCAUCUCGUACCGCUUUUCGCAUCUUUUGCAUUGGACUUCCCCGCUGAUCUUGAAGAUUUGUUUUGAUAACAAAUAGUUGAGGCUGUAGACUGAGGCGCGACGGGUGGUGGCCCAUGGGAACGGUGCAGGAACCGUUUCGCUCUUCCCUUCGUGUGGUGCUUGGGAAGGGUUUCGGCGGGGGCGAGCCGGGCGGGACUGACCAGCCGAGGCCGAGGAAGGUUCUUGACGAUGAACUACUGCUCGCAGCGUGGGGAGUGAUGAUGUGUCAGGGAGAAGAUGAGGCGACUGCGUCUGCUGAGGCAUUGGCACGGGCGGCAUGUAGAGAGGGUAGGAUGGCGGCGGCGGCGGCUGGGGUAUGAAUGGCUGAUGUUGUUGCAUGGAGGGGGUGGCGGAAGUGGUGGUUGUUGGUGUAUUGGGGAAUGUUUUCGGGGCCUGAUGGCUGCUGGGCGAAACGAAAGGGAAAGGGUUAAAAGAUCAUUGUCGUCAUCUUCAACGAGGUGAUCAGAAGAAGAGAAUUUUCUUGGGAUCUGAAAUUCAUGGUGGUUGUUGUUGUCGUUGGUUUUUCUCUUUCUGUUGAUUUCUUGAUUAUCAUUGGAUAUGUCUUUUUGGUUGUUGAGAAGAAAAAUCAUAUAUGGUCAAAGCAUAAAAGGAAGAGCAACAGCUGCGGGAGGUUUAUGCAGGGUAUAAAGAAAUGCCAGAGUGAAUCUGACGAAGGGUUCAAGACAAAAGACAACAGGGAGGGUUUUCAGAGAUGGAUGGAAAUUUGUAGUUGGUUGGGAGUGUAAGAGAGAGAAGUUGUAAUUUGUACUGUAAGUAAAGAGAUAGAGAGAGAGUUGAGAGAUAAAGAUAAAGACGAGCAAACAGACUAUUAAACCUGCUUUCGAGAAUUGGGAAUUUUGUGUGUAAUUUUAUUUUGGUUAGACUUCUUUUUCGAAUUCAAAAUCGCAACGGAUCUUUUGUCCCACACCCUGUGCCACUCUCUGUCCCACUUUUUAUUAUAUUGCUAUUUCUCCUUCAUAAACAUCAUGUUUUAAUUCCUUUUUGUUUCCUUAAGAUCCAAUAACUAUUAAUUGAGUAAUACACAAAAUUUAACAAACUCAAAAAAUCAAAAUGCAUAAAAAAUUAGAUUUUUUAUGAAUUUUCUGCUAUAUUUUUUAAUUUUUUAUUAUAUAUUACUUUUUUGAAGCUGUUGUAUUUAUUUUUUACUUAAUUAAUAGUUAUUGGAUCUUAAGGAAGCAAAAAGGAAUUAAAACAUGAUGUUUAUGAAGGAGAAAUAGCAAUAUAAUAAAAAGUGGGACAGAAAGUGGCACAGAGUGUGGGACAGAAGAUCCGUUGCGAUUCAAAAUGUCCAUCCGAAUUCUUCAUUUUUUGGGAUAAUUUCAGAAACAUUCCUGAGGUUUUUAAUAUUAUCACUUGGCGCCCUCGAAUUUUAAUUGAACAUUUUGUAAAAAUUGCAACUCGUUUAAAAAUAAUAAAUAAAAACUUAUGUUGGGAGAUAUUAUAUAAUCUCAUUCCAAAUUUGCUCUUUUUCUUGUGGUCCCUUAAUUGUCAUAGUACAACAAUUUUAUCUCUUAAUAUUUAUAAACUUGGUCGACGUAACUCUUUGAUGAAAAUUCGAAAAGUUGAUAACGGGUCGAGAGACCCAUUUUUUCUAUCAUCGGUUUGGAUAAGAAAUAUUAAAGUAUUUUAAAUUUUAAAUAAUUUACAAUACUUGUAAAAAAAUAACUUUAAAUAUUUUUAUUACAUUGAUAAUAACUUUUUACACUAGUUUGAAAAUGUUAAAACAUCACAAACAUGGUUAUAUAUAAGUUUCACAUCUUGGAUUUUUCUAAUUUUCAAAUCAUCGAUUUGGGCAAAAAAUUUUGAAAAUUUAAAAAAAAUAAACAAAUUACAAAUCUCCUUAAAUUAGCUCAAAAUAUUUUACAAUAAAGAAAAUAAUAUUUUUUGUGAAUUGCAAAAAACCUCAAAUAAACUUUCAAAGCUGUGUUUUCAGACUCGGACCGGACUGCCGGUUCGACCGAUCGAAUUGGGAAUCGGCCAAGUGUUCGGUCCAAGUCAUGCUUCAAAACCGGGUAAGUAAAAACCCCGAUCAAAUCCGGUCAAAAACCGGAUUUGACCGUGUUUGACCGGAAAAAUCGGAUUUUCCGGUUCAAACAGUUUUUUCAAAAAAAAAAAACUCAAACUUUUUUAAUAUUAUGUUUUGACCCCUAAAUUGUUAAAAAUUAUUAAUAUACCUCAAAUAUUUCAUACUUUAUCAAUAUUUUCUUAAAGUUUGGUAUUAUUUUUCAAUUAAAUCCAUAAUUUUAAUUCUAAACUUGUUAAUGCUCAUUAAAUAAUAUAAAUUGUUACUUGAUUGUUCUAAUUUCUUUGUAUUUUCUUGUUAAAUAUAUUUAAAAUAUCAAAUAUAUAUAUGAAUAUACCUUUAUUAAUAUAAACAUGUUAUUAGAUAUUUUACAUAUAAUAUUUUAAUUUUUAAAUAAAUUUUAUUUAUGACAUCAUCCGGUUCAACCCCUAUCGAACUCGAUUGAAUCCAUUGACCUCUGACCCCUGAGAUUGACCGAGUCGAUAUCCGGUCCGGUUUUGAAAACAUAGUUUCAAACAUGAAGUCUUUGUUUUUUCAAAACAUACUAUAUUUUGCCCCAUCAUAUUUAAAUCUUCAUGCCUUGUACUAAAAAAUAAGACAACAAAAGAACAAGAUUGAGUUGAGAUUAUACUCUCUCUCUCUCGAGAUAUGCUUUUUUAAUGUUAUAUUUUGAAGCAUGUUGCAAAUGUUAUAAAAAGUUUAAAGUGAACGAAACACACGUACGUGAUAGCUUUCAAGUGGCAAGUGAUAUUGUCGAAAAUUUGCAGGAAUUUUGUGUUCACACUUCACGUUGUCAUGCACUACAAAUCUCGCAGAAAAUGGCUGGGACGAUGUUUGAACAAACUAGUGUUCAAUAACAAUUACCCGCUGUUGGACGCGGGCAUGGUCCUGCGCCACUCAUUAUUGAUGAGUUGAAUUGAGGAUUAUGCAAGGAAAAGAUUAAAAAAAAGAAAAGAAAUGGAAACGAUCAACAUCAACUUCUUGUGAUUAUCUGGACUUAAUUACAUACGAUCGAACAAUUUCAUUUGACAGGGUAAUAAUAAAGGAAAUGUAUGAGUCCGGGUCCUAAAACAACCAUAGUCAUGUUUCACAAUUAAUUUCAUCCAUUUAAAUUCAAGCUACCUUUGGUAAUUGGACGACCAAAUCAAGAAGAUGCUCCCAUACAGAACUUAUUAAUAAAAAGGCCUGUCUAACAAGUGUCCAUAAGAUAGGGUUUAAGUGUUAAUAUUUUUUAAAAAAAAUAAUGUCAUAAGUGUAUAUUAAUUGGUGGAUUAGAUGGUAAAUUAAGUACGACAUAAGCGUAUUAGCGAGUGUCUAAUGAAUUACGAAGUACUCUUAAGAAUUUAACCAUAUUAGUUGGUGGAUUAUUGUAACCAAAACAUCAUGAGUUCAUAAUUGCCACGGGAGUAUUCCCGCAUCAGCUUUCAUUCAGCCUUUAAAAAUAAAAAAAAUAGGACAAACGUCAAAAGAAUAUUCAAUUCAUUCUUCGUUCUUUUUGAUCUCCUAUCAACGAUUAAAAUUUUUUUAAAAAUAGACAAAUGAAUAUGGCUACUAAAAUACCGGAAAAAUCCAUGAUCAUAAAAACUCUUGGAAUCCCUACAUGAUAGAGUACACCUAAAAUUCCACAAAGGUCGAUUUCAAUAGGAAAUGCAGGGGACAGCCGCAUUUUCUUGGUUAAUGUGAGAAUUUAUAUAGAUGUUCAUAUCAUUUGAUAAUGUACCAAAAUUUUGACAACAUAAUAUGCUUGUGCUUCAUCCGACUUUACUACCGGCCGUCAAGUUCAUUGAAUUUGCUGCAUUGAGAAGAGGGGCAAAUUGAUAACAAUUAUUUGGGCUGUCAACUUAGAAAAUACAUACGGGCCUCCACAUCAUUCCUCCCUUGAGCUCUCGGCAUUUUAAAUCCACUAAACAAAUGAUGGGUCUCAAAGGAUUGGGUCCAAGCCUAGCGGCAUAGGUUUCGGACCCAUACUAGCCCGGUAACGUGAAUGUGCGAUGCGGGUAUUAUUAUUUUUUACCUUCUUUAAAAAAAUUUUUUUUUUUUUGGUUAGCAAAUUUUUAUUUUUAGGAGCGAUGGAAGUCUCCCUUCGCAAAGGGCAGACUGAGCGGGCGGGGGGGGUCCCGGCUCGUUUCUUGGUUGGUUCGUUUUCUCGAAUCUAGGCGUCUGAGUUCUUCGGUUGUUGGAUUUCGUGACCUUACGUCACUCUCUCUAUCCACUCUACAUUAUUGUUUCAAAAUUACAAAAAAAAAAUUAUACAUUAUUGUUAGUUUAAGGAACGAUUGAAGCACAAAGAAACGUAAAUAACCGAAGUGGAUGCCGCGGACGGAGUUUGUUUGGAUAAGAGUUUAUUUGAAUGAUUUAUUUGAGAUAAUUACUGUAAUAUUUUUUGUGAUGUGAUGUAUGCGAGAUAAAAAGAUGAUUAGAAAGAUGAAAGGGUGGUUGAAAUUUAUGAAAUAAAUUAUUUUAUUUCAAAUGGGUAUUAAUUUUGGGGUUUUGGUGUUGGCCGGUUGGGUGGUUUUGUCGGUGGCGGUGUUCAGGUGGGUUCACCAGAGUCGUCGGAGAGUGGACCAAAAGUAUUUUACUUACUAGUGCUAGUAAAAAGAGCUAAUGACGGUGUAUCGAGAUUUUUCACCGGUAAAUGCACCGCAGCUGCUCGAAAAAGGCAACGGUGCCGACUUUGUGUUUCUCGUUUCAAUGCUUUGUUUGAUUUGGAUGGACGUUUUCGCCGCGUUAAAUGUAAACUGGAAUUUGGAUGAAACUUGGAAAUGCAACAAUAAUACUUAGUAGAGAGGAAGGAAAUGGACUGAGUUAAAAAAUAUAUAUAACAGCUUUCUCCAUUAACACAUUUCUCUAAAUCCUAACAGCUUUGUUUGGAUUCUAAAUUUUUUAGAGUUUUUAUAAAAAAAAUAUAACAAUAAUGAUGUGAUGUAUGUAAAAUAAAAAUUUAUUAAAAUAAUUUUAAUAAAAACUAACCAUCUAAACCAGCAAUAAAUUUAUCGAUGCCAUACGAAUGCAUGAAUCACUCAAACGCAACAUGUUCAAAUCAUUCAAUUUCUCUCUUCAAAAGACUGGGAAAUCCAGGUAAAAUUUCAAACUCGUCGCGGUCAUAAUAAUUAGAUUUUUGCUACCCUCGUGCGCUCGAUUGAUUAUUCAAUUCUAAACGAUAUUCAUCUAGAAACUUUCUUAAUUCAUGCUCUUCAAAAUUAUUAAGCUUGACAAAGUUCAGCACAAAACGGGUUGUGUUUGUUCCCAACGCCCAUACUUUUAUUAUUUCUACUCAAAAAAUGCCAAAAAAAAAUAGAGGAGGAGAAGCGUAACAUAUUUUCCAACCUUUCUCGUGAUUGCAUGACAUAUUUUCAUUUUUUUUUUAGUUUUACUUAAACAGUAUGCCACAAAUUCUGUUUGACCAUUUGAUUUAGGAACAUUGGGCUUUCUUGCUGGUAAAAGGUGAACAAUGUACAAACUUUUGAAGUGGCAUGUUUGAAUGCGUGUGAAUAAAGCCGGAUGGAGGUAGGAGGCACGAAAAGCAUUUCAUUAUAUAUACUAGUGUAUACUCCCAAAGUCCACAGACUUGGCUUGUAAUUGUCGCCCUUCAAAAUUCGACCAUGAAUAAAAAAUCACGUGUCCGUGUGCGUGUGGAGGUGGUGAAGUGAGGCGUUGUCGGCAAUCUGAGGCUGGUCAAAUUUGGACGAAUCAAACUUAUCUAAUCACCUUUGCACCAGUCCAACAUCAACCCCCGGUGGCCGGUGGGGGCCCCUAUUAGUAUUAGUAUGAUUUGGCGUUGUUCUUCUUCUUUUGACUUAAAUGCUGGGCCCCUCUGGUUCUGAUCUCACCGGUGAUUAAACUAGCGGCAGCCACGUGUAAAACUAAACACCCCCUCCUUAAGGCUCAGCCUUCCUGGCCAGCCAGUAUCUGUGCAUUGCAUGCUCUGCCAAUCUGCUGCUACAAUUUGCAGCAGGGGAUAAGAUAAGCUUCAGCUUCAAGUUCUGUGCUAAAAGUAUGUAAUGGGAAUCAAGAAUUAAUUGAAGAAGAAGCACUGCUUCUUUUUUUUGCCAAAAUGUAUCAGCUAAACAGGCUUGUGAUUGCUGACAAAAAGGCAAAUUUUGCUGCCUCCCAAUAUCAGUAGCUUUGACAUUUUACUGACUUACUCUUUUAGUUUUGUGGUCCAACUCCGAUCAAUUAUUGUCCACCCAAAAACUUAGCGGUGUUUGGCCUGCAAUUUUGUGUAAGAACGUGAAACGCAUUUCUCAAUCACCACGUUGUUGACUAAUCGGCGUAAACGACGAAUACCCAAAAGGGCAUUUUCUUUCCCUGUCAAUUACUCCGUCCAUCGGAAAGGGGUGCAAGAAUUGCCAUUACAAUUGUUAUAAUCGCGUCCAACGCAAUUGGUUAAUAGAAAGUAAAUUGCCGUUUGUAAUCGGUGGAUAAUGACAAAACAACCUUCUUUAUAAAAAGUAAAUUUAACAUUCCGACUCUGAAUGAUGUAGGUUCUCUAGUAGUAGUAGUCUCCACACUCAGAGCAAACAGUCGUUUUUUUUAAAAAAAAAAAAAACAAUUUUUAUUUAAAAGUGAAUUUAACUUUGCGUAAAAAUGAAGGAAAAACUCACCUCAACAGGUAGCCCGUGAGAGCUUAUCCUCUCUUUAUCUUAUUGCGCUUUUCAAUUGUCAGCGAAUCACAUCUCAUAAUUGGAGAGACAAUUAUAACAAACUCCUAAGACUAACAAGAGAUGAGAUAGCACAGUGAAAGUGACCUUGAAGGCCUUUUAUCCGCUAAAAAUGAUCGAUUAAGAGAGUAUGUUGGAUCAACAAUGAUGGAGCUCUCAAGUCGGUUGUUUGCAUCAAGUGUCAACUACUAGGUGUUAAAACAUACUUAUCACUCAUUAAACUACUAAUCCUCAUUAGUAUAAAAUUUGCAUCAAAUCCCGCUCAAUACCAGAGCCAUAGAUUCUAGUAAUGCUGGAAAAAAGGAUUGAUCAGGUCAGGAGCCCGUGGAGGCAGGUAGCUUUAACGUUUUCAUGGUGGAAAACAGUUGUUGUCCAUAAAUGCGAGUUGUGUUCAUGUAACUAGUUUUGAGCCAUCAAUGGGUGAGAGCGGCACACAGCCUACAGUUGUGCAGUUCAGGCCCAUCAAAUUAUUUAGCUAGCUAACGUAUUAGUGUUUGGAUUAUGAUGAAUCUUUACGACGAUAAUGUGAUAAAGAUAAACUUCUACAAUAUGUAGUAUGCUGUUUUUUAAUAUGUAGCAUGCUGCAUUCAAAUCUCAAGCAUGACAAAUGGAAAAAAAAAAAAAAAAAAGGAUGGGUUUGCCUAAUAAACUUCAAAAGAGUGUGUUUGGACGGGAGAUUAUUUGUCCGAAUUUAUUUGCUUAUAUCAUCAUUGCGAUUUUCAAUAUAUUUUUUUAUUUUUUUAAUUAUUUAUAUAUAUAUAUAUAGUAGUCAUUUUGGUGGGGCUGAGAGAGAGAGAGAGGGUGGGGGUGGGAAAAGAGUGUCAAGGAAUAAGGACGUGAUAAUCAACCGUACCAAGACAUAACAUCUACCAGAAUUUUGAGGCAGAUUGAUGAAGUAAUCAAACGACAAGAGUAUCCGAAUAAUAGAGUAAGGGGUCAACACUCCUAUCUACAAAAUUUGUAGCAUGAUUUUUGAGAGCUCCUCUUCGAUUUGAUGCCCAUCAUUCUCCCUCCCAGACGUCUCUUUUCUUGACAAAAUGGCCAUAUCAUGUACAUGCCUCUAUGUUAAAUGCAAUUUGGACAGCUACCAAUCAGCUGUACAAAUAGCUCCUCAAGUUACAUGAAUCUGCCCACCCGCAUUCAAGCCUUUCAAUUCCUACUACUACUACUACUUAGGGGGCGUUUGGUUCGCACGUCGGAAUCGGAUUCGGAUUCGGAAUCGGAUAUCUUGGGUUUGGAAUGAGGUCAUUCAUUCCAAUAUAUUUGUUUGGUUCAAGUACCUGGAAUGUGUAUCAUUACUAUAGUUGAUGUUUGGUUCGUCGACUCUUUCGGAAUGGAAUAUAAUAAAUAUAUUAUAAACCACAUCGUAAAUGAUAAUUAUUGGCUCUUUGUAAAUAAGAUAUAAGAAAUUUUCACUAAUUAAAUAUAUUAGUAUAAAUGUAUUAGUAAAUAUAUUAGUAUAAAUGUAUUGGUAAAUUUAGAUAAUAAUAUUAUCAUUAUAAAUUUGUAACUAAUUCAAUUCAAUAUCAUAUAUAUAAUUAAAUAUAAAUAUAUAAUUAUAUAAUUAUAUAAUAUAUACAAAUAUUAAUUAUACUAAUAUUUUAUAUAAAUAUAAUAUAUAUUACAUAUUAAAUAUAGUUAUUAUUAUAUAUUAUUAUAUUUAAAAUAAUAAUUAUUAUAAUUAUAUAACUUAUUAAUAUUACAUACAUGUAUAUAUUAUAAUUAUAUGCACAUAUAAUAUACAUUUAUAAAUAUACAUAUAUAUUAUAAAUAUAAUAUUAUAUAACAUUAAUAAAUUUAUAAUAUAUAUUAUAUAAGUAUAAUUAUAUUUAACUAAAUAAUUAUAAUAUAUAAUUAUAUAAUACAAUAACAUCAUUAUUGUAAGUUUGUAACUAAUUAAAUUAAAUGUUAUAUAUAUAAUUAAUUAUAAUUAUACAAACGCUAUAAAAUAAAUACAUAAUUAUAAUUAUAUAAUAUAUAAAUAUUAAUUGUACUCAUAUUUUAUAUAAGUAUAAUGCAUAUUAAUAUUAGAUAUAGUAAUUAUUAUAUAUUAUUGUAUUUAAGAUAAUAAAUAUAAAUAUAAAUAUAAUUAUAUAAUUUAAUGUUAUAUACAUGUGUAUAUUAUAAUCAUAUGCACAUAUAAUAUGCAUUUAUAAAUAUACAUAUAUAUUAUAAAUAUAUUAUUACAUAAUAUUAAUAAAUUUAUAUAUAUAUUAUAUAAAUAUAAUUAUAUUUAACUGAAUAAUUAUAAUAUAUAUUUAUAUAAUGUACUAAUAUUAUAAUUAUAAUAUAUUAUAUAUAUGUACAUAAUUAUAAUUAUAUAAUAUAUAAAUAUUAAUUGUACUCAUAUUUUAUAUAAGUAUAAUGCAUAUUAAUAUUAGAUAUAGUAAUUAUUAUAUAUUAUUGUAUUUAAAAUAAUAAAUAUAAUUAUAUAAUUUAUUAAUAUUAUAUACAUGUGUAUAUUAUAAUCAUAUGCACAUAUAAUAUGCAUUUAUUAAAUAUACAUAUAUAUAUUAUAAAUAUAUUAUUACAUAAUAUUAAUAUAUUUAUAUAUAUAUUAUAUAAAUAUAAUAUAUAUUUAUAUAAUGUACUAAUAUUAUAAUUAUAAUAUAUUAUAUAUAUGUAUAUAUUAUAAUAUAUAAUAUAUAUAAAUAUUAAUUAUAUCAUUGUAUAAUUAUAAUAUGUAAUUGGAUUUGUUUCUUGGAAUCAAACUUGGGAAUCGGACAAAACCCACCAAAAUACUAGGGAAUGGAGAAACACCAAAUUUUUAGAAAUCAUUCCAAGAUUUCAAUUCCCAUUCCAGUGAACCAAACACCAUUUAUGGGGUUCAUUCCAUUCCCCGAAUCCGAUACCCUCUUACCAAACGCCCCCUUAGUUUCUUGAGUAAGUUGGGAACGAGGUCCACGAAUGUGUGCAUUGGUUAUUUCUAGGUCUCUUUUUUCUUUUUUUUGCUUUACACGCCAAAGUUUAGUUAGGUCGCUUGAUAUCCUAAGAUGUUACGAUUAAAUUCCGGCAAAGGCCACUCAUUGGGCGUGUAGUCUAUCAACUAUUUAUCGAAAUUCAAACGCGAAAAUUUCAGUUCAUUCACAUAGAUUUUUUAAAUAAAUAUAUGUAUAUAUUUUUCUUAUUUUUUUAAUUUCAUAUACAUCACUUUACAGGAAGCACUGUAACAAAAAAUUUACUUGAAAACUGCAAUCCAAGCAAAGCCGAUUGGAAAAGAGUUGAACCCUGGCACUAACUAAAUCAUGAGAAAAAUGGUAAGUUUGUUUAUGGUAAUUCUUGAACACAGGCCGCCCGCAGCCAUUAAUAAUACUACGUACCGCCUUCUGCACAAAAACAAAUAAGCAACACGUGUGAUAAUGACACGUCGGUCAGAAGAAUUCCUUCGCGACCUAAUUUGACGUUGACGAAACAUUACGACAUCGUCUACUCAUACUCAAUGCGACGGCCAUAUUUUAAUAGUAUUAAUGAUUCUCUCGGUCCAAUUUCUGACCAGUCCCAACUGUUCCAAAACUCAAAAUUAAAAAUUUUCUUCUACCGAUUUUAAGAAAAGUUGCUGACGUGCAAAAAUAAGGUCAUGGCCUACACCAUGGUCGGGUUAUCCGCUUGAAAAUUAUCCGAAUAACUGAGAUGAAAAAUAUUUAACAAGCAUCAACUGUAUGAUUUUUUGUAAUAUACCCCAAGAGAGAAUAAUAGGUCACCACCACAUUUUACCGCACUGUUCUAUCUUUCAUUCUCAAGACUCGACUUAACUAGUAAAGACGUUAACCAAAUACAAGGGAAUUUUUUGGACUGAGAAAAAAAAAAGUUGAAUCUCUUCUUCAACUUGCGUGUGUCAAUGGAAAAAGAGAGAGAGAGAGAGAGAACAAAGAUGAUUAGUUUCCUAACUUUCAUUUCAAACAGUUUAAGUUUAAAAUUCAAAUUUUGCUCAUAUGUCAUUCAUCUAACAUCAUUAUAGUGUCAUGCGUAUCAAUCAUCUUAAUGAAAAAUUGCAAUAAUCUUUUUAGAGUUAAUCUUAUAUACAUUUACAGUGUAUAUAUUGUUAUCAUUAGAUGCAUGGCAACUCAUCUGAAUUUAAAAUUCAAAUUUUGCCUAUGUGUCAUGCAUAUAACCACGACAGUGUAUACAUUAUCUAUCAUGAUUAGAUGCAUUAUAGUAUAUGAGUAAAAUUUGAAUUUUAAAUUUAUAUUUAGACAAUUUGUCGUGCAUCUAAUUAAUUUAUCUUCCCAAGACAAAAUUAAUUUAUCUUCUUAAGAACUAUUAUGCUCCAUGAGAGAGGGGGGCAAUGCAAUGUAAGAUUACCCCGUGCGUUAAGUCACAAACAGUUUGGUUUUUGGUUGUGCAUGCGUCAGUCACAGCUUGGAGUUUCACGGGGAGCGUUAUUACGUAGAGGUAAAGUUAUGAGCCUAUUAUUAAUAAUAAGGACAGAUUCGCAGCAAGUUGCAGAAUUUUGUUGACUCGAUAAAAGACUGGCUCGUGGAGCCAAUUAAGAAUUAAUGCAGGUGAAGAAAAUAUACUUGUAAUGCAGGAAGGCAUAUCCCUAAGUAACUCCAAGGCCUGAAUAGAAGAAUCAUAUGGUUUUUUUUUUUUUUUGGGUAUCAAGAAGUUGUACGUACCGACAUAUAAUUGUGCAGACUAAUUAUUAUUGAUUAGUAUGUCAUUGUCAAUAGCAGCUAUCCACCUAAUUGAUUUUUUAGGAUGCAUCCAUCCUUCCUUCCAUCCAUUCCACAUAAAAUGUAUGCAUCCAUUAUCCAACUAAAGUAUGCAGUUUAAUCGGCGACACGAGUAAUUUCGUGAGUACUAUGUUAAUGCAGGGAGCAGUCAAAGUAAAAGUCUCUCUCACUAUGUACAACGAAAUGUACCCGACCGCUUUUCCAUAAUUAAUCGAAUUGAAAACGUUAAUCAUGACAAUUAACAUUAUAUGGUGCGCCGGUAAUAGAAUUUGUCAUCUCCGACUUUUUCAAAUAGUCUUGUAUUCAAAUGGUUUUUCCGGUUAAUGUUUAUUGAAGGGAAGAGUAGGAGCGUAGUGGUUAAGUCAUAAAACCGUAUGUACCAAGCAAAUAAGAAGCGCUUGUGAUUCUAGUUUCUGGCGGCAGUAAUUUUCGGCCCAUUGACCAUAAAAUCAUACAUCAACAACAACUUCCAGUUCCAAGCAAGUAACGGGCAAUUCCGUGCAAGUAGACGAACGAAACCAACACCUCCAAUCCAAAGCUCCAGCUGCCUCAAGCAAGUAACUCCAUGCGUGCUGUGGGUUGCGAUCGGUGAUGCUGAUAUAGUAGUAUAUGGUCCGGAGUUAGCUUUGGAUUGGUCAAAAAUUUGAGGCGGCUGGAGCUUUGGAUUGGAGGUGUUGGUUUCGUUCGUCAGCUUGCACGGAAUUGCCAAUGCCUGGCGAGAUGACAACUGCGCAGCAUUCAAAACAUUUGUGCUUUCUUAAUCUUAAUAAUGCCUGGCAUACUCAUUUAUUUGAAGAUCCAUAUACACUACUGUAUUUUGGUGAAGAAGACUACUACUAUAAGUCUAUAACCAAGCUCCUCUUUGUUCAACACUUUGACAGACAUGAACGAAAGUGACUGACGACUUAUUAGUCUUACUUCUCUUUUUAUUCAUAUUUAUAGUUUGUGUGUGUCUGUCUAUAUAUAUAUAUUGGGCUUUAAUUAAUGGUUAUCUGCAACAAUCUGUUAAAAAAAUACGGCUCAAUCGGAACAAAAUUCAGAGAAAAAUCAUCCUUACUGUAAUAUCAAAGGCACUGUAACAGCCCUGUAAGUUACUGUGCAAAUACUGCAAGACUAACGAUGGAGCAAUUCUUUUCUACCUCAACAUCCAAACAAGGAUAUAUAUAUAUAUAUAUAUAUAUAUAUAUAUAUAUAUAUAUAUAUUCUUCAACUCUGUGACAAAUAUAAAAGUUGCACAAAGACUUUAGUGAGUGAUGUAAAAUUAACCUACAUCUCAAUUAUUGGAAGUCUUCUUGACAAUUUAUGCAAGUUUUUGGCGGUAGGGAGGCCGGAUGGAUCAGAUUCCACGGGCCGUACAAUCACGUAGACCUGACCUGAUUUAUCAUUUUUGUCCCUUUUCUCGGUCUUUCUUUUUUUCACAAAUGGAAGUAGUAGUACUAGUACCAGUUAGUGCAAAUUUCAAACUCGUGUGAUGUAGAUUUGUCCAGCUUUCUUUUUUAUUUUUUUCCUGUGUUGGUCUUCGGUUGUUGUAAUAUCACUGUCCACUAUUUAAUCUCAUGAAUUGUAGUAGUACUUCUUUUCAUUAUACAAUCCCUUGUCUUUGUCGGGCCGCAUUUUUAGAAUUAACCGGUCGACAAGACGUGAAUGUUUUGCAACUGCAUUAUUAUGCCAAAAACUCUUUCAACUCCUCCUUUCCCUUCCCCCUCCUCCCCUCUCCCCAUGCCACCCCCAAUUUUCAUUUUAGAGUACUGAUAUUUUUCAUUUUUUCUAUUCGACUAUUUCUUUAAUUAUUCACUCAUUUUUCAAUUACUUUUUGAACUUCUUGUUUUGGGUCAAAGAUUUUGAUAAUACUACGUGAUGCAUUUAUGAAUGCAAAAAGUUCAAGACAAUUGUCUCAAAGCAGAGUUGUUUAGGGAGUCUGACGAAGAAGCAUCGCUUUGUUCGGAUAGAACAUUAUUUUAAAUAAUAAUAUAAUAUUUUUUGUGACAUGAUGCAUGUGAAAUAAAAAGGUGAUGAAGAAAAUUUUUUUAAAAAAAAAGGUUACAAAAUGUAUUUAUAAUAGAAGCGAAAUAAUAUUUGUAAAUAACGACUAUUUUAAUGAUACGAGAUUCCUGGGCUGAAAUGAUUAUAAUCGUGUGGGCUUUUUAUAAGCCCCGUUCCUAUUAAGAAAUUUGAGUCACGGUUCUGGCUCUAGAUGAAGCUGCUGGGCUUUGCCUAAAGUGUUGAGGUAAGAAACGAUACACAGCCCGAUACGUCUUGAGACCACUUAGGAAUCCCUUUAUAUAAUCGUGUAAUCGAUAAACCAAGGUACAGAGCUCUAAAAAUGUAUCGAGUCUAAUGGUGGACGAGAUUAAAACAAAAAAUAAUCAAAUAAAUGAAGUGAUUAAUGGUGGGCUUUUUUAUGUCAAACAACUAAUGGCGGACUGAAUGAAGGUUAUAAUUCUGAUAUCUGAUCAGUGCUACAGUUUAUUUCACUGGAUGUAUUAGUGAGGAAGCCUUGCUCUUUUAGGGCCCAACUAUAUCAAUCAGCCCAAUUUAGUUGGGUCAGCACUCAGCAGUUUGGGUGAAUUGAGUUGAGUCGAGAUGCGCCGUUCUAGUUCAACUUCAAUUAAUAAAUUUACACUCGAGUUUAAAUUUGAAUUCAAUUUUGUUUUGCAAUACUCGAGUUCAAUCUCGUGCUCAUCGAGUCUAAUCGAAUUUAAUUUGAGCUUAAUUAGUCUAAUCAAGUUUAACAGAUAUAAAUUUAAAUUUAAAUAAGCAUACAAUAGAUAUUUUAUAUAAAUCAAUAAAAAAAAUUUAAAAAGUGUGUGCGCGAAAUUCUAUUGGACUUGAUGAGUUCGUGAACUCUUCACAUAUUAAAUUCGAGCUCGCUUUAGCAAGCAGCUCAAGCUAUUCAAAUUGAUCAACGUGGGGUCGAGUUUCAACUUUGAUUGAGCAACCUCAAUUAAGUUAGCGUAACAAUUUGUUCCUUCUAUUUUUUCCCCUUUGUGAGUGGCAAUUGUUAAAUAACGGUAGCCUAAUUUUUUUUUUUUUUUUUGCCCUUUUUCGAGGGAACGGUAGCCUAGUUCAAGUGGCAAAUAUCAAAUUGAUGUUUUCUUCCAUGCUUUAAAGUUCAAUCCUUUCUUGUUGAGUUUCCUCAAUGGGUUUUUCCUGUUGUUCCACGAUUUAUCGGGAAAAUUCAAUCCAAAUCCACAAGGCCAAGGCCGAAUUUUGUACGACAGAGGAGCUGGGAACUAGGAACGCUAACCCAAUCCUCAAUUAAGCUGAAAUACGCAGGGGCUUACGUUUUAUUUGCUGUUUUGUUGUGUCCGAUGCCAACUCAGAUGGUGAAAUAGCCAUUUUAGACUGACUUUUUUCAGAGAGAGAGAAUUUUCUACCAGGAGAUGAUGGCCUUUCGUUGGCACCUUCGGAAACACUCCCCUUUUAAUUUUUUUUUUUAUUCCCGCCCCGGUUUCUUCCCCCUCCCGACUAAACUAAACUAACUGAAGCAGCAUACUAUAAAUUCAAUGGACGAAUGUUUUUCUGCUUAGAGUUAACAAUAAGAAAAGUUGCAAUUUUUCUUGACUUGAGCAUCAAAAGAAAAGAAAAGGAAGACAAAUAAAUGGGUUGGAGAGGGAUUCUGGGAUUUGAGUAUGGAAUAGUGCAGGCACCAUUGGGACCAGAUAUUUCAGGUCCAGAGCUUGUAGCUGCUGUUGCUAACGCUGGUGGACUUGGUCUCCUUAGAGCCCCUGAUUGGGUAAACCCUUUUUCUUCUUCCUUUUUUUUUUUUUUUUUUUGAAUGAUCAGUUUUUUGGUUCAGUUUUUUAUGUUUUAAAUUUUAUGUUGACAUUUCUGCAGUGUACCGUUGAGCAUUUGGUACCCGGUAGCUUUAGCAAUUCCACGUUACUAUUUCAAACUCUGAGAAGGACUACUUUCGUUUACUUUUUCUUUUAUUUGCUUUUCAUUUUCCUGUGAUUUGCAUUGCUUUCCUUACCUCCAAAAAGUUGCAUUAGUGAUAGUUUUGUAUUAGUCUAUGGUUUUGAGCUUUAAAGUGUCUCCUAGAGUCAAAUUUGAUGCUAGUCUUCUCCCCGUUGAGCUCACAACUAAUAUGCCAGUAAUUGCAAUUUUGUUCCUUUUUCCAAAAAUAAACUUGCAUUGGCUUCAGGUUAUGGCUUUCUCAUCCUGAUAGGAUAAUAAGGGUUACUGGUGCUACAUUGAAUGUUAGCACAAAAUAAAAACUGGUAAUUGUACUAAUCAUUGAGGCUUAUGUUCAUGAUCCACGUUUACCCUUGUCGAAUUAGUUACUACUAAGUUGUUGAAAUGCCAUGAUGUGAUUUCGUAGUCUUAAUUCAACUCAUUGAAUAAUAUGGUGAUUGUGAGAGGGUCUCAAGGAGUCAGAUAAGAGAAUGCUCCAACUUAUCACUAACUGUAAGGAAGACGUGCAUGCAGACUCCCGUUAAAUGUUCUUUUUUCUUUUUAUUUUUCGUAGGGUAAUAUGUAAUAUUUCUAAACGCGCUUGCAUAACAGGAGGCACCGGAUUACCUAAAAGAGCUAAUAAGGAAGACCAGAACCCUGACUGACAAACCUUUUGGGGUUGGUGUUGUUCUGGCUUUUCCGCACAAGGAAAACAUAAGGGCUAUACUGGAUGAAAAGGUAGCGGUCUUGCAGCUUUCCUGGGGUGAGUGCACAAGUGAUAUAGUGCUUGAGGCUCACAAAGUCGGGGUCAAGGUUGUACCACAGGUUAGUCUUGUGAGCUGAUUUUGCUGUUUGAGAUAAAUGUCCUUUUUUGUGCUUGCAAUUCCUUAAUAACAGUUGAGAUUGCACUAAUAUCAUAAAGGUGGGGAGCUUUGAAGAAGCAAAGAAAGCUGCUGAUGUGGGUGUGGAUGCAAUAAUUGUCCAAGGACGGGAAGCUGGUGGACAUGUUAUUGGACAGGUAUAGUUGUUAGUGUACUCAUCAGAUAUAUAUUACUUCAGUUCAAUGUAAAAAUGGAGUGGUAUCUUAUUGAAUUUGCUUCAUUUUCACAAAACAUUGCUUUGCUAUUGCAUACAAGUGCCCAUAAAUUUUUACAUAUUGUUAUACUAUACACCGUUGUUAUGUUAAGAUUGUGUUAUGAAUGGUUUUGUAACCUUGAAAUGAAAUUAACUUGACUAGAAUGAUAUAACUUAAUUUGUUCCUUCUCUGAAUCUGCAUUUGGGUAUAAGUAAUGGGUGUACCUAGAUAUAGGAAAAGGUUAUACUCUUGUACAGGGUACUACAAUUGUAGACCAACAUUUAAAAUUCGAUAGGGAAUCUGUAAACUAUGUGUUCUGCAGUUUGCUAGUUGCCUAAACAUUUCAGGCUUCCAAAACCUUCCAUUUUUUAAGAGCAUCUUUACAUUGCAAGUGACUGACUUGUAUAACUUGUAAUUUAAUUUUUGAGGGCAUUUCUUGAGACACUUCAUUUAUACUUUGAAAUUGAAGUUCCAAGGUAUAGUUGAAUCCUAGCUCCACAUCUGUGAAAUAUUUAUGCCAUGGUUUUUAAGGCAUCUGUUAGUUAAACAUCCUCUGACCAUGAGCAGUUUCUCUCUCCGUAUUCUCUCAGAGUUCUGAAAUUGACCCGCAUUGGAAAAUUUGCAGGGUGCCUUAAUUUCUUUGUUGCCAAGGGUAGUUGAGCUUGUUCAGGGUCGUGAUAUACCAGUUAUUGCUGCCGGUGGAAUAGUGGAUGAACGUGGUUAUGUAGCUUCCCUGGCCCUUGGAGCUAGGGGGAUUGCAAUGGGCACUAGGUAUGUGACUUCUUUGGUUGUUAGUUUUCUUUAUACCCGCUUUUAUUUGAUGAAAGCACAGUAUCUGGUUAAUCUUCGGACGGAGUAACAGGGAUUCAGUCUGCUUUUAUAAAAGUUUCCACUGUAUAAUCUCUGUUCUUGGUGCAAUCGCUAGAAACCAUUGCAUUCUGCAAUGAACAUUCUAAUCAUUGGCAAAGUUCUUACCAUUCAAUGCUUAUCCACUUUUUCUGAACAACUUUUGGAUUUUGUGUCCUACAAACUCUCGAUUAGCUUGAUAUUCUCUGGUUAGAGGUUUUGGAAUCAAAAAAACGAGAAGUAAACUGUACUGUUAUAUAUACAUUUUAUGUUAUCAAACUAAAAUGUCUGUUGUGGAAUUGGAGCUAUUUGGUCAAUUAUUUUGUACCAUGAUUGUACCUGGAUUUAGUGGCAUCUAACAUCAAUAUGUUUCACAAGUGGGUACCAACCAAAUGCUACACAAGUAAAGAUAUGAGCCAGAGUAUAUGUCAGCCAGCUAGAAAUAUAUGGUUCAAACAUAUUUAUGCCUAAGUAAUUCACCAAUAUGUGUCCAAUUUCUUUGAUAUUUGAUAAGAUUGGUCUUGCAUUGCCAUUUUCCUAAUUCCAUUAGACCAUCUUUGAUAGUGCAUCAUAACGAUGCUUGGUGUACUGAACGGUGGCUAACUCAUUUUUCCUAGAUUUCUUGCUACGGAUGAAAGCUAUGCUCACCCAGCAUAUAAGCAGAAGUUGAUCAAAUUUGAUGAAACAGAGUACACAGAUAUAUUUGGCCGUGCAAGGUGGCCUGGAGCGCCUCAACGUGUUCUGAGGACUCCAUUCUUAGUGGAAUGGAGAACUCUUCCCAGUGAUGAGAAUGAGACUAAUCAACCUACCAUUGGUCAUUCCACCAUACAUGGAAUGGUAAAUACUUUUCACUACUUGCCUUUCUUAAUCAUUUGGAUGUUCCUCCUUGAAGUUUUCCUCUAAUGUGUUGUAACUGUGAUUGAAAUUAGGAGAUAAUCUUGCUGAGGAGCUCAUUUAUUCAGUCACAGAUGCAGUCAUAUAACUAACGAAUUAUCUUAUUUGUAUCAAUAACUCUUUUUUUUUUGUUCUGUGAACAGUUAAUUGAGUGAUGUAGGUUUGUCUUAGCAGACAACCAAAUGAUGCUGACUAUGCACGUGUAUUAUUGCUUCAUUAGGUAAAGUGCUUGAGGUUGUGGUUGGGCUAAAUUAAAUUUGCCUGACACAGUUAAAUUUGUGGUUGUGCAGGAAAAAGAGAUUCGUCGAUUCGCUGGCACAGUUCCAAACCUGACAACAAGUGGUGAUGUUGAAAGCAUGGCCAUGUAUGCGGGUGAGGGAAUUGGCCUAAUUAAAGAUAUCUUACCAGCUGGGGAAGUCAUUAGGAGGAUUGUUGAAGGGGCUAAGCAUCUGAUCAAUCAACAAUUUGCCUGUGACAUGCAGGCUUAGGCAUCAGUUGAAUCGAUACAACUAGUUAAUGGUUGUAGUAGUAUACAAGAUUGCAAGUUUUAUGCCGGAGAAAUAAAUCACUGAGAGAAGGAAAGAGAAAUUAUGUGUGUUUAACCAGUCAAGUUACUAUGUGCUGUAUUGUAGGAAAGAACAAAAUAUUGUAUCAUCUUCUUUAGUAGGCAAGAAAUAAUUUUAUCUUGUGUUUACCUCCUUCUUGGUAAGCAUGUGCUUCAGGGUUUACGAUUUCAGAUGUGCAACGCAGUUGAUCUCAGUACAAGCCCAUCCUGGUCGAGUAAGCACUCUACAACUUAAUAAUAUUUGUUCCAAUGCUCAUUCUACAAGAGUAUAUGGUAGAAAUGUGGUGGUAGCAGCAUGACAGUCAAUUGACAAAAUAAGAUUCAAUCAAAUUUUGAAAUGAAACUAGAGUGCGUAAAUUGUGGCUAUUUGCGGAAAAUUUCCGCUUUGAAAGGAAAUUUCGGAAUUAGGGUUUCAAUUAACCCCAUUCUGCCCGGUAUUGUUUCUCCUAGUUAGAGGCCGAAUUAGCCUUGGGUUAAAACAUGAAAGUUGUAGAGAAUGAUAUUUUAUAGUUGCCUGUAAAAUUUCAACCCAAUCGGAGUAACGUAGCACGUGAAAAGACUGAAAUACCCCUGCUGCCCUGUUUCUGUCCGAAGCUGAUUAUGUUUCUGUCCGAAACUGAUAAUUAGCUUCUGUAAUUGGUUAGUUUGACCGGAAAUACUACUGAUUUGGUUGUCGAUGUUUUCUUAAGAAUUAUAUAUUUGUAUCUUAGCUUUCAGAUGGCUUUGGAAUCACUUGAAUUGGAGUCGUAUGUGCUGAGAUAUAAUCGAACGAAUCAGGACUGCCACAGUAAACUUCGAAUUGAAAAAUCUGGGAUUGUUUUGGUAAAUUUGACCUAGAUACAUUGUAAACUGGACUGAGUGGCCUUCUUCAACAUUGUAACCCUUUCUUUUAGUUUCGAAACGGUGUAUAUUACACAUCCAUCCGAUAGUCGUAGCGCCGGUUGGAUCCAAUACACUAAACGAUAUCAAAACUGUUUUUGGGUUUUAGGGUUUAACUUUCAUUUCCGGUCAUUUUCCUAGCUAAAUUUUGUACUCGAAUGACUUUGAGCCUAUUGAACGGCUGUUGUGAUGAAUUUAUAUUGCGUAUGACUUUGGGAUUGAUUGUGGAAAAUAAUGAAGUCAUAAGUGGCUGGAAAAAUGGGUAAAUACAGAGAGCAUGCUGCCCAAAAUUUUAGGGCUACACGAUUGGGUAAAAACGAAGCCCUAAUUGUAUUUUGUUUAGUAUGAGUACCUCGGAUCACACUUUAUGUUAAUUUGUUCAAGACUUCAAUGUAAAUAUAUGUAUAAGUGUUUAACCUUGUCGAUUAAAUGUAUUCCGUUGAGACUGUGAUUUUAUGGUUUGGUAGGCAUGUUCUCACCUUAGUAGUUUCCGAUUGUUCAUUUUCUUUGGGUCCUAUCUCGCGUACUAUGCUGGAUUUGUGUGAAUCGAGUCCGUGGUCCUGGCAAGAGUUGGGCAGGCGGUCCGCCGAACCCUUUGAUUUGCCUUAGAGUGAGGUGGGGCUGUCACAGGUGGUAUCAGAGCCACUUCGCGUGGCCUCUGCGCGGAGUGAGAUUGGGCCAAGUGGUGUUAUGGUCCUACUUUCGUGAAUGCGUCGAAAGGUAUAAGUGCUCUUUUGAACAUAAGUUAUGAACUGUGCAUGUCAUAAGUGUAAAGAUCUUUAUCAUAGGACUUGGGGAAGUUAGGUAUGUAUGUCAGGUAAGAAUCUUUAAUAUGGAUGAUUUACACUUGGGACCGGCCUGCUCGAGUUGUGAAUUAUCUUAGAUGGGAUUCUUGCGCCCGAAUACGAAAGAGAUGAGAGUUUAGGUUAGAAAGGACUUAGACGAACUAGAAACGCAAUUCUAUGAAAUUUCGUGUGGUUUGUUCGAGUGUGGUUAAGCGUGAUCAACUUUCAUUAAGAUAUAAAUGGUGUUGUUCUCGUAAAUUAUGGACGGAACCCUAGAGGGGGAAAAGCUUUUCGUUAGUUUUUUUUGUACUCGUGACCUAGUCUGUCUAUAGUACUUUUGGAUGACCCCGUUACUUUCAUGGAUCUCUCAUAUUUGUAUCUAAUUGACUGCUACUGUGUGACUGGUUCGGUACAGUUGUGUGUAUAUAUAUGCUUUUGAUCUGUGAGUACCUCUUGUUAUUUGCUUAUGCCUAUAAUUAUCUUUAAUAUUAUCUUUGCACCUCGACCUUAGAUUGACUUAGAUCAAUGAAGGGCACUUGUAGUGUACGAGGCCGCGGGCGUGGAAUUAGGCAACCCACUUCUGAAAGGGGCACUGGGGAAACUUCGCCUGGACCUAAUCCUGAACCUAGGGUUGAUCCUAACGUCCAAAUAGCUGCUGCUAUGCAGCAAAUGACUGAUUUGCUAGCUCAAGUGGUGCACCAACAGGGUCACAACCCUAACCCCAACCCUGGGAACCCUGGUAACCACGUGGAAAGCGAGGACUGGGCCCUCGAGAGAUUCCAGAAGUUUGUCCCACCAAAGUUUAUUGGAGGACCC
This 47340-nucleotide long non-coding RNA is filed under the name Coffea arabica (coffee). RNAcentral describes it as "long non-coding RNA (CARA_LNC001659)". The record is from RNAcentral. Lineage: Eukaryota; Viridiplantae; Streptophyta; Magnoliopsida; Gentianales; Rubiaceae.